AACCCACUGCCUGCUUCUUUGCUUGGUUGUUGCAGCAGCAGCAGCAGCAAGCAGCAAUAUUACCACAGACCAACAAGCUCUUCUUGCCCUGAAAGAUCAUAUAACUUAUGAUCCGACCAACCUUUUUGCCCAUAAUUGGACCUCGAAUACCUCUGUUUGUAACUGGAUUGGCAUCACUUGUGAUGUCAAUAGCCAUAGAGUCACAACCUUAGAUAUUUCUCAAUUCAAUCUACAAGGCACCGUCCCUCCUCAACUUGGAAACCUCUCUUCACUCACAACACUUAAUCUUAGUCAUAACAAGCUUUCCGGAAGCGUUCCCACCUCCAUCUACACCAUGCAUACACUAAAAUUUCUUGACUUCACUGAUAACCAGCUCUCUGGUUCAGUUUCAUCCUUCGUCUUCAACAUGUCUUCAAUAUUAGACAUUCGUUUGACCAAUAACAGACUUUCUGGUGAGCUUCCGAAAAAUAUUUGCAACUAUCUUCCUUAUUUGAAAGCCCUUUUUUUGGACAAAAACAUGUUGCAUGGCAAAAUUCCUUCUGCUUUAUCAAAGUGCAAACAACUGCAACAAUUAAAUUUGCAGUUCAAUAAUUUAUCCGGUGCAAUACCAAAAGAAAUCGGCAACUUGACCAUGCUCAAAGGGAUAGACCUCGGCUACAACAAACUCCACGGUAUGUUCAUAAUACUAUGUAAAUAUUUUAAUUUCUCACUUGUUAAUUUUCUUGAAUAUCUUAGAUAAGAUUUUGUAAGUGAGAUUUUUUGCAUCUAUGUUAAUUUACCAGGUGAGAUACCCCACGAAAUCGCUAAUCUUCGAAAUCUAGAGGCUUUAGUGCUAGGAAUGAACAACCUAGUUGGUGUGGUAUCAGCUAUAAUCUUCAACAUGUCAUCACUGAAGGUACUUAUCCUCAUCAAUAACUCUCUCUCCGGAAGUCUCCCAUCAAGAAUGGACCUUUCACUUCCAACUAUUGAGCAUCUUAACUUGGCACUUAAUAGAUUUUCUGGAACCAUUCCUAGUUCCAUCACCAAUGCUUCUAAGCUCUCCUUUCUAGAGUUGGGAGGAAACACAUUUUCGGGCUUUAUUCCAAACACAAUUGGAAAUUUAAGAAACCUUGAGUGGCUCGGCUUGGCUAAUAACUCCUUGACAUCUUCAACCUCAAAAUUGAGCUUUCUUUCCUCUUUGGCAAAUUGCAAGAAAUUAAGAUCCUUAAACUUAAUAGGCAAUCCGCUUGACGGCUUCCUUCCAAGUUCAAUAGGUAAUCUUUCCAUGUCUUUGAAAAUACUUCUCAUCGCCAAUUGCAGUAUUAUUGGCAACAUUCCUCGAGCAAUUGGCAAUUUAAGCAACUUGUUGGCCUUGACAUUAGAAGGCAAUAAAUUGACUGGACCAAUUCCAAUUACAUUCGCCCGACUGCAGAAACUCCAAGGUUUAUAUCUUCCAUUCAAUAAGUUGGUAGGUUCAUUCCCAGAUGAGCUUUGCCAUCUAGCUAGGCUGGCUGAAUUGGUCUUACUUGGCAAUAAGCUUUCAGGAUCUAUACCUUCAUGCUUAAGUAAUCUCACUUCUCUAAGAUCUCUCUAUUUAGGGUCCAAUAGGUUUACUUCUGUCAUUCCCUCAACUUUCUGGAGCCUAAAAGACAUCUUGUUCUUUGACUUUUCAUCAAAUUUCUUGGUUGGUCCUCUUUCUUUAGACAUAGGAAAUUUGAAGGUGCUUGUAAGAAUAAAUUUAUCAAAAAAUAACUUAUCCGGUGAUAUCCCAGCCACAAUUGGAGGAUUGAAAGAUCUUCAAAUUAUGGACCUAGCAUAUAAUAGACUGGAAGGCCUAAUUCCUGAAUCAUUUGGUGACUUGAUAAGUUUAGAAGUUUUGAAUUUGUCAAAUAAUAAAAUCUCUGGGUCUAUUCCAACAUCCAUGGAGAAAAUCUUUUACCUCCGAGACUUAAAUCUCUCUUUCAAUAAACUAGAAGGUGAGAUUCCUAGUGGAGGAAUUUUUGCCAACUUCACAGCUGAGUCAUUUAUGGGAAAUGAGUUAUUGUGUGGUUUACCAAAUCUUCAAGUCCAACCAUGCAAAGUUAGCAAGCCGAGGACAGAACAUAAAUCAAGGAAAGAGAUACUUCUCAUUGUGAUUGUUUUGCCAUUGAGUAUUGCUCUAACAAUAGCAAUCACUCUACCUCUCAAAUCUAAGCUGAUCGAAUGUGGAAAAAGAUGCACAGUGUUGUCAAAUGAUAGUGUCUUGUCAUCACAAGCAACACAAAGAAGAUUUUCAUACUUAGAACUUUUACAAGCAACAGAUAAUUUUGCUGAAAACAACAUAAUUGGCAGAGGAGGUUUUGGUUCCGUUUUUGGAGCAAGACUUGAAGAUGGGAUGAAGAUUGCAAUAAAAGUGUUUCACCAGCAAUGUGCAAGCGCAUUGAAGAGUUUUGAGGCUGAAUGUGAAGUGUUAAAAAAUAUUCGCCAUCGAAACCUUAUCAAAGUUAUCAGCAGUUGCUCGAACGAUGACUUCAAAGCAUUAGUCCUAGAAUACAUGUCCAACGGGAGCUUGGAGGAUUGGCUGCAUUCUAGCAAUUACGUGCUGAAUAUAUUUCAUAGGUUGAACAUAAUGAUUGACGUUGCAUCAGCUUUAGAAUAUCUCCACUUCGAUCAUUCAACUCCUAUUAUUCAUUGUGACUUAAAGCCUAGUAAUGUAUUGUUGGACGAAAAUAUGGUUGCUCAUUUGAGUGAUUUUGGCAUAGCAAAGCUUUUAAGUGGAGAAGAUGAGUCUACGAUGCGAACAAAAACCCUUGCCACUAUAGGUUAUAUGGCACCAGGUUUGCUUCAAAUAACUUUUUUUUUUAGUUCAUUUUAAAUUUUGCAACUUAUUGAUUUUUACGAUCCUCACAUCAAAAUUUUAUUGAUUAUUUAUCUAAUUGUGAAAUUAAUUUGAUUCAUAGAGUACGGCAUAGAAGGAGAAGUAUCUACAAAAAGUGAUGUUUACAGCUAUGGGAUUAUGUUGAUGGAAACUUUUACCAAGAAAAAACCCACAGAUGAAAUUUUUGUUGGAGAAUUGAGCUUAAAGCGUUGGGUUAAUGACUUGCUUCCUACUUCAUUAGUGGAAGUUGUGGACAAAACUCUGCUAAGUGGAGAGGAAAAACAUUUUGCAUCAAAGGAGCAAUGUCUGUUGUCUGUCUUUUGUUUGGCUCUGGAGUGUACAAUGGAAUCACCGGAAAAGAGGAUUAAUGCAAAAGAUAUUGUUACCAGAUUACUCAAGAUAAGAGACACAUUGAGUAAAAGGAUAGGAAACUUCAGUUAAUUUCGUUUGCUUUCAUUGAUGGUUAAUUCAAAUUCAUGUAAUAAGUGUAAGAAUCUUAUAUGCUUUCCUUAGAUAUAUAUUUUUUUUUUUGAGAAAACUGUCGUAGUCAUCUUGUUUCCAUGGGCAGAGUUGAUUUAGUUCUUCCAAAAAAUGCUACUGAUGACCUUUGUUUAAUACUCUCUUUUUUUGCAUGUGUUUAGGUAGAACAGUGGUUUGGCUGCAGGCUAAGAAGACUAACUACACUAAAAGAAUAUGAUUUAAUUUAUUAAACAAAACUUCAAGUUCAAGAAAAGUAUUUCACUGCCCCCAAUGCUUUGGACACCUACUGGUAGGUUUGUACGUGUCCUCAACUUUUUUUUGGAGCACAAAAUUCGAGUCCCAUGGAGACUCAAACAUUCCUUUCCCGCAUCCCGAGCACGCUAAAUUCAUCAGACUGACGACUGGGACAUAUACAAGAGUGAAAUGUUUGGAGCACACUAAGUUCGAGUGAAAGAGAUUAAUUUACGGAAACUAAAGCCGAAGGUUCAAAAAAAAGUGCAAAGUGAAUUGAUGCACAAUGUCAUAUUCAUACAGAGAUCAAUUAUAUUAUUUACAGCUGGUAAGGGCUAAGAAUUGAUGUAGCUAGAAUACAAAGAGGAUAAGGUAUGUUGAGCACUAUUGUUUUUAUUCUACAAUCAAUCUUGACCCUUGAUGCUUGGCUCUCAAUCUUGUCCAUUGAUCGUCUCUGAUUUUGGAGACCUCAAGACCUUUCAGUAUCAUGCCUUGUUAUUGGUGUCUUCCGUGCUGUAGAAUUCAUAUACAAGCUUUCCCGCCGACUUGCCAAGUAUUCGUUCAUUGAUGCAUUUUUAUCAAACAGCUGGGCUACUUAUACCAAACACCGCCUGGUUUAACUCCCCCUCUCUAGCUCAACUAUCUGGGAAGACAAUUAAUUGAGAUAUGAAUCAGAAAGUUAAAUUUUAACAAUUAUAUUCGGACUCUACAUUUUGUAAUGAACAUUGGUUUGACUUGUUAUACAUUUAUGCGUACAUAAUUAAUAACCGAUUCUCAAGUGCGGACAUUCAAGAGCACUGCUUAAAGACCAAAUAUUUUGAUUUACUAUUUUUUGUCUUUCAAUUUUCUUUUAAGUUCUGAUGACGUCCGCAUUUUAAAAUCCUGUGGAACAAAGGCCUGAGGUGCAUAUAAAAUUCUUUUAUUUUUCAGAGGAAAAUGGGUGAGAGAAGAAGAUUUGGCAAAAGAAUUGCAACGGCAAUAUGAAACUAGUCUUUGUCUUUUAAUUCUUUUAUAUUUGUUUUUGUUAUUGAUGUUAGCUUGGAUGUGUGCGCGUGUUGUUAACAUAUAUGUUUACAUAAUGUUGAUUUUGAUGAUAACAAACAAAAUUAAGAAUGAUUAAUCUUUUAAGCUCAAAUUAUUUAAUAUUCUUUUUAAAUAAAUCAUUAUUUUCACAUUAUAAAUGUUUCAUAUUUAAUGGAAAAUUGAUUUUAUGAAAUUGGUUGUUUUUCAAAGUUUAUGGUUUAAUUGAAAGAAUUUUGAAAACUUUGAAAUAAACAAGUAUUGCUUGAAAUUUUAGUAAAGGACUUAUUUGAAAAGUGUCUUAGCAUUUUUGGCUAUAUCAUAAUUUCAGAAAGUUUUGGGAUUAACAAAGCAUUACUUAGAAAUUCUGAAAUUGGACCUAUUUGCAAAGUUUCAUAACGUUUUGGGCCUUAAUAUAGUUUUGUAAAGUUUGGGAGUCAAAAUGUAAUUUUAGAAAAUAAUUUCACUGUAGCAUCACUGUAGUAAACGGCUAACCGUUUAUUUAAAACGGCUAACCGAUAAUUUUCAGAAAGCAUAUUUUGCAUAGUAUUGUUAAAAUGAUGAUUCUGAAACAUAACGGUGAACCGUUUACUGAAAACGGUUAACCGAUUAUUUUCAGAUUGCUAACCUUGAACCGUUUAGUAAGAACGGUUAAACCAAAUUUGUUUUGCAGGUCUCUGGAAUUUAACGGCGAAAGGGUAAUACUAAACGAUAAACCGUUUAUUUGAAAAUUGGUCCAACGGUAACUUUGACCAGCCUAAACGGUUAACCGUUAAUGGUUAACGGCGAACCAUUUUCGAGCAGACAGUCUAUAACGGCUAGUUUUUCAGCUCCAACUAUAAAUAAGCUCAAUCCAAUUCAAACAAGAUAAAUUCCAACGAUCAUCAUUGAGCAAAAUAUUGAGAAUACAACUUUCAUUGAGCUUUAAAUCCUUGUAUUCAUCUCAUUCAUUCACACAUUGAGCUUUCACUUGUGAUCAAACACAUUGUGUGAGAGAGAUUCAUUUGAAAUCCUCUUUGUAAAAUCAAGUUAAAAGAUUGUAAGUGUUGGGAUACACUUGAGUUAAGAGAUUGGGGAUAAUCUCUUGUUGUAAAGGUCCAUUGACACCUUGGAAGUCAAUUGUAAGCGUUUGAAGCCUAGGGAGGCUAGCUUAGUGAAAUCCUCAAGCCCAGUGAGCUUGGAGGCGUGGACGUAGGCGGGGUUUGCCGAACCACGUAAAAAUCAUUGUGUUUGUUUUCUCUUCCCUUAGUCUUUUAAUAUUGUGCAUGAUUGAAUUUAUUGUUUUCAAUUUGAUUAAGGCAAUAAAUUAAAUUGUUGUGCGAAUUGUAUUGCAUAAAUUUUAAAAUCCCAAUUCACCCCCCUCUUGGGUUGCCUAGUUAGUAUUUCACGUGUGACUGAAUUCAACUUAUAUUUGUUUUUGUUAUUGUUAUUAAUUUUAUUUGUUUGUGUUAAAUUGGACCACCAAAAAGGGCUGUCCAUUAUCAAAUCAACACGGUUUAAUUAUUAUUAUUUCUACACUUUUUUUAUAAACAAAUAUAAAUAAAAGGAUAUUUACACCCCAAAUUUUAGUGAAAUAGUCAUUAACACUCCUAAAUUUUUAAAAAAAGAUAUCAAGAUCAUUUUUUGAUCUUAAUACUCUCAUACGGUACCUCUAUUAUUCUUAAAAAUUGACUCUAAUGUUUUAUAAUAAAUAAAAAUAAAACAUUAAAAUAAAUGUAAUAACAUAUAAUUUUAAAAUAAUUUCAUUAUUUAAAAAAUAUUUUUAACAUUUUACAAUCUAUUAAAUAUAUUUUAUUAUAUUAAAGUAAUUUUAUAAUAAAUAGAAUCAUAUUAUUAGAAUAAAUGCAUUAAAACUUAAAUUAUUUUGAAUAUCAUGUAAGAUAAUAAUUUUAACAUUACUAGUAUGUCAGUUUUUUUUUAAUUGUAGAAUGUAUUUAGUGCAAAUAUUUAUUUCAAAUCUCUACAAUAAAUAAAAGAUUAAAAUAAAUAUAAUAAUUUACAUAUCUAAAUUUAUUAAAAUAUUUUAAUAUUGUUAGUCUACUGCAUAUAUCACAAUAUUUAUAUAACAUUUGUAUUUAUUAAAAGCUUUAAAAUCAAUUCUUUUGAGAAUAAUAGAGGUAAAGGGUACAAUGGUCAAAAUGGGGACUUUGUACCCUUUUUUGAAAACUUGAAAGUGUUGGUGGUUAUUUUUCCAAACCUUCAGGGUAUAGAUGUCCUUUUUCCACAAAUAUAUGAGAAAAUUAUCAAGAAAUACAGUAUCUGAACUUUGAAGUAACAAGGAUCACCUUUUAUGAAAUCGAUUGCUUUUCAUGAUAGACUGUUACCAUUUUUCUACAAUAGAUUGAAUUUAGUAAAAAAUUGAUUAAGAUGUCUACUCAUGGAGAGUGAAAUUUAUGUUCAAAACUAAUUUCAACAAGCAUGCACCACCGAACGUGUUUCUCACGGAAAAGUUGCUUGGAUUUUUGGGACUUCCUGUUCAAAUAUUCAACACGGCAUGCACCACGCGAUUGAACAUGCAAAAGUAGGGGUCUAUUUUCAUUUCCAGCAUUAUAGAAAUCUUAAUUUUGUUCAUUAGUUAUUUUGAUCAGCACUGUUGAAUCUCCAUGUAUUGCCAAUCACUAAGAAACAACAUAUUCUUAUUAAUUAUAUCCUCUAAUGGAGAGAACUCAUUGUCUCAGUAAGAUCACUGUGUCAUUAACCCACAGCAUGCUGAUUUGCUUGGUUGCUGCAGCAAGCAAAAAUAUUACCACAGAUCAAAAAUCUCUUCUUGCCCCAAAAGAUCACAUAACUUAUGCUCCAACUAAUCUUUUGACCCAAAAUUGGACCUCAAAUACGUCUGUUUGUACGGGGAUUAGCAUCCCUUGUGAUGUCAAUAGCCAUGAAGUCGCAGCCUUGGAUAUUUCUCAAUUCAAUCUACAAGGCACCAUUAUUCCAAACACAACUGGUAAUUUAAGAAACCUUAAGUGGCUCGGCUUGGCUUAUAAACUACUUGACAUCUUCAACUUCAAAAUUGAGCUUUCUUUCCUCUUUGGCAAAUUGCAAAAAAUUAAGAAUCUUAGGCUUACUGGAAAUCCACUUGACCGUAUCCUCUCAGGUUCAAUAGGUAAUCUUUCUAUGUCUUAGGAAAGAUUUCACAUCGCCAAUUGCAGCAUUAGUGGCAGAAUUCCUCAAGUAAUCAGCAAUUUAAGCAACUUGUUGGCUGGUGUGCAAAAUUUUAAUAUACUCGCAAACGCAGGAAUCUAGAAAUAGAAUAAUGGUAACGAGGUCAAACCCACAUGGAUUGUUAUAAAAUGACAAAAGAAUAGCUGCUGGUCUAGAGGUGGCUUACUACAUUCAUACAAGAUCGUUUCUUGUUCUCCAAGAUGUGCAUUAUACUAAUAAUGCUAUACAAACUUAUAUACUGAUCUUAUCCUCUAGAUCUGUUCAGGCUGAGUGAUCUCUCACAUUUGCCAUAUCAGAAGAUUACAUGCCAGUAAUGUCAUGUGAUGACCUGUUGCUUGGUGAUGUCGAAUGCCUGGCCUUUACUUCUCUGAGCAAAUUGAUCAAACAAUCUGUUCAUUUUAUCGAACACCUUCACCAACUAACAUUUAAUUUACUUUUGAUGGUUUUUAAGUGCAUUUAAUGAUUAUUUUUGCUCCAACUUCAGAUAAACCAAACGCUAGUAUAUUAGAAGAAGAAGUUAACUGGCAGCUAACCAGGUCAAAAUAGCGACUCUAUAUAAAAAAUAUAUAUAUAAAAUAAAAAAUAAAAAAUGGGACUUUAUUUAAUUAAUUGUUGGUCUAAAGCUGUUGGUAUCCGUUGGCCACGUUUCUGAAGAGUCAUCUCAAAUCAAAAUUUUUAACGAACAAAGAACUUUGCUUUUUUCCAUUGUUCACAUUGCUGCUGGCUGCCACCCGUGAGAUAAAAGUGCUACAAUCCAAAAUGUUCCACCAUUAUUUAUUCUAAUUUUAAUUUUCCAAUGGAAAAAAUUACAUAAUUAAAAUGGCUUCUAAUAUCAUUUCCACAUCUCAAUAUGUGUCACUAUCAGAAGGUUGUUUUCAUGAUUCAUUGUAAAUUUGGAUUACAGUACCUGUACUUUCUGAUGGUUCAUUAUUUAUUCUCAGGAAUCGAGUCUCCUUACAUUACCAAACUAAUAACAACCAGCAAUCUUUUAUCCUUUCACGGUGAGAAAUCACAGUCUUCGUAUGAUCGCAGUGCCAUUAACCCACUGCCUGCUUCUUUACUUGGUUGUUGCAGUAGCAGCAGCAAGCAACAUUACCACAGGCCAACAAGCUCUUCUUGCCCUGAAAGCUCAUAUAAGUUAUGAUCCAACUAAUCUUUUGGCUCAAAAUUCGACCUCAAAUACCUCUGUUUGUAACUGGAUAGGCAUUACUUGUAAUGUCAAUAGCCAUAGAGUUACAGCCUUGAAUAUUUCCAGCUUGAAUCUACAAGGUACCAUCCCCCCUCAACUUGGAAACCUUUCUUCACUGACAACACUUAAUCUUAGUCAUAACAAGCUUUCCGGCGACAUUCCCCCCUCCAUCUUCACCAUGCAUAAGCUGAAAUUUCUUGAUUUCAGUGAUAAUCAGCUCUCUGGUUCUUUGUCCUCCGUCACCUUCAACUUGUCUUCAGUAUUAGAUAUUCGUUUGGAUAGUGACAAACUCUCUGGUGAACUCCCAGUAAAUAUUUGCAAUUAUCUUCACUAUUUAAAAGUCCUUUUUUUGGCCAAAAACAUGUUUCACGGUCAAAUACCACUGGCUUUAUCCAAGUGCAAACGGCUACAACUGUUAAAUUUGGGGUUCAAUAAAUUAUCAGGAGCCAUACCGAAAGAAAUCAGCAACUUGACUAUACUUCGAAAGAUAUCUCUCAGAAAUAAUAAACUUCGCGGUAUAAAUGUUUAUAAUAUAUACUUUGUAAAUGCUCUUAUUAAUCAUUCUUAAACUUUCUUAGACACUUUUGUCUAAAUAAAUUUCGUAAGAGAGUUUUUUGCAUCUCUGUUAAUUUUGCAGAUGAGAUACCUCACGAAAUUGGGUAUCUUCCAAAUCUAGAGAAUUUGGUGCUUGGAUUCAACAACCUAGUAGGCGUUGCACCUGCUGCAAUCUUCAACAUGUCAACAGUGAAAGAAAUUUACCGGUUAGAUAACUCUCUCUCGGGAAGUUUUUCAUCAGGAAUAGACCUUUCACUUCCUGAACAGAUUUUCUGGAACCAUUCCUAGUUUCAUCACCAACGCAUCUAAACUUGUAUAUCUAGAUAUGGGAACAAACUCUUUUUCGGGCAUUAUUCCGAACACAAUUGGUAAUAAUCUAAGAAAACUUGACUGGCUCGACUUAACAUACAAUUGCUUGACAUCUUUAACUCUAGAAUUGAGUAGUACUAGGUUGUUAAAUGACGGUAUCUUGUCAUCACAAGGAACACUAGGAAGAUUUUCAUACCAAGAUCUUUUUCGUGCAACAGAUAAAUUUAGUAAAGACAAUCUAAUUGACAUAGGAAGUUUUGGUUCUGUUUAUCGAGGAAGACUUCGUGAUGGAAUUGAGGUUGCAAUAAAAGUGUUUCACCAGAAUUUGUGCAAUGGAAUUGAUGAGUUUUGAGGCUGAAUGUGAAGUGAUGAAAAAUAUUCGUCAUCGAAAUCUUGUCAAAAUAAUCAGUAGUUGUUCGAACGAAGAUUUCAAAGCAUUAGUUCUAUAAUAUAUGCCCAAUGGGAGAUUGGAGGAUUGCUUGCAUUCUACCAAUUGUUCGUUAAAUAUUUUUGGCAGGUUGAACAUAAUGAUAGAUGUUGCAUCGGCUUUGGAAUAUCUCCACUUCAAUCAUUCAACUCCUAUCAUUCAUUGCGAUUUAAAGCCUAGUAAUGUAUUGUUAGAUGAAAAUAUGGUUGCUCAUUUGAGAUUUUGGAAUUGGAAGGCUCUUAACUGGAGACAAAUCAAUGAUACAAACAGAAACACUUGCCACAAUUGGUUAUAUGGCACCAGGUUUGCUCUGAAACAAUUUUUUUUUUUUUUUUUUUGGGUUUUCAUUUACACUUUCCAAAUUAUUAUUUUUCCAUGAUCCUUCUAUCCUAAUGUUGUUGAUUAUUUAUCUAAUGAUAAAAUCAAUUUGGUUGAUAGAAUAUGGCAUAGAAGGACGAGUAUCUACUAGAAGUGAUGUUUAUAGCUAUGGAAUUAUGUUAAUAGAAACAUUUACCAGGAAGAAACCCACAGAUGAAAUGUUUACAACAGAAUUGAGCUUGAAGCUUUGGGUUAACAACUUGCUACCUGCUUCAUUGAUGGAAGUUGUGGACAAAACUUUUUAAGUAGGGAAGAAGAAGAUUUUACUGUGAAGGAGCAGUGUGUGUUAUCAAUCCUGAGUUUAGCUAUGAAGUGUGUGAUGGAAAUGCCAGAAAAAAGGAUCAAUGCAAUAGAUAUUGUAACUAAAAUAUUGAAAAUAAGAGAUGUAUUGAGUAAAUGGUUAGCAAAUUUAGGUUAAUCUCAUUUCUUGGCAUUGAAACUUUAACUUGAAUCAAUAUAUACUUAAUUUGAAUCUUUGUAUGAGUGUAAGAAUAUGAUAUAUUUUCCUUUGAUUUUUUUUUUUGAGACAAACAUCGUAGCUAUCUUGUUUCAAAUUAAUUUUAUGCUUUUUUUUUCUUUUUCUAAGAUCAUGCCUAAGAGCCGUAGGAAGAUCAGCUACAAAUUCAAAGCCGGCUAAGGCAUUUGACAAUGGAGAGAUUGUUAGUUUUUUCUCCAUUGAAAUUAAUAUAUAUCACCUAUCCCAACUAUUUUCAUAAUGUCUAAUAACCUCCUGGCACCAUAAUUUUACCAUAUAACCCUUAUUUUUAAAUGCACUUUUAUUUAUAUUAAUAUUAAUUAAAUAAAUCAUAUGAGUUGGAAUUAAAAUUAAAAAAUUAAAGACCAAGAAUAAGAAAUAUACGUUUUAGUGUGCUUAAAAAAUUAAUAUUAAAAUAUUUUUUUUUUGUACUUUUUAUUGUCCAACCAAUGUUGACAUUUGCCUAUAUCAGGUUUUUUAUGUGUACAGUGCAGGUUCAACUUAAGCCAUUAAUAGAACAACUUGAGAGAGCAAAAGUAUUGCAAGUUCUUGAUUUUGAAAUCUCCAAGCAUAGGAAGCCAAAGCAUCUGCUUCUUCUGGGCAUGCUGCAAUGCUGGUUCUAGUUCGAACGUGACCUCUCAGUCAUCUCAAGAAGGGCUAUUCAUUGGGGACAUCGAGGUAACUUUACCCCACCCGGAGGUUUGAUAAUUCAACUUUUUUAAUAGAUUUGUCUAAUACAUUCAAUUUGAUUUUAUUAUGUACAUGUUUGGUUAAUUACCGUGUUCUGUUAAGUUCAAGUCCAGUUGCAAGUCCCAUUUGGUUUUGCAUUGUGUUCGUUCCGCCACUGAAUCCUUCAUAAAAUAGUUUAAGGUUUGGAAGUUGGUUGGAUAAAUAGUGCUAUAAUGGUAGUUACUUUCUUUUAUUUCGUUUGACUUUUCGCUAGUGUAUCACUCCUAGCAUAUAAUUAAUCAAUUCUUCCAGGCAUACCAUGACUUGAUUGUGAUGCUGUGGAUUAUCUAGGACCAUAAGCAUUUGUGUGUUAAUGUAUUAAACUUUUGCCAUACCUUUAACCAAUCUCAUAUGCAAGUAAAUAUGAUCACUUAGAUCAAAUUUCAGUUUAGACUUGAAUUGAAGUUUUAGUGUCCUGUAUGACUGGUCUUUCUCAAUUUUAUCAAACAUAUGUUUCCUUCUGAAAAUAUUAAAGUGGAUUUGAUAGUUUAAGCAAUUUGUGGUUGGAUUUUGGCAGUUUGAAGUUGUAAUUCUGGUACCAAUCAAGACGAGGAAGUGGAUGCCAAGUGUGAAACAACAAGUGGGCAUCUGAAAGUCACGCCACAUUGGAUGAUCCCACAAAAAAUGAAUCUUACAGAGGAACAACAUGGACAGAUUAAGCAGGAGCUAUAAAUGGAUAAAAUUUGAGCAGCUGGAGGAUCCAUAGAUGCCAAUAAACAACCGGAUUAUUCGAACGGACGUACCUCUAAUGGUCUAUCUGGAAAGUCCAGCGGGCAUGAAGUCUAAACGUGAAGUGGAUGAGGAGGAAGAUGAUACUAAUUCUAGAAACUUCAAGAGCUUUCAUUCUCAUGCUUUAUGAAUUUCUUUCUUGCUUCAGAAUUCAAAUGCAAGCUUUCCCUCUCAGUAUUUCUUCAUUGAGACAUUUUUCUCGAACAGGUUUAUACUUGUGUCAAACAUCUUCUGUUAUAACUAGGAAGCCAGUAAGAUUGUUUUUCAAGUACGUUAAGCGGAAACAAUAGGCAAGGCCUUUUGUCAUUAUAUCUACCACUUGAUUUUUUCUGCCCAAGUACUUACUAUUCAAUUCGUUUGUUCCAAUUUUGUCCCUAAUGAAGUGGUCUUAUAUCCCCACAAACUUUGCUCUUCCAUGAAAGACGAGAUUCUGUGCAAGUGCUAUUGCACUCUUGUUGUCACAUAACAACAGAGGAAUAAUUAAACAUACAUGAAUAUGCACUUUAGUAAGCAAGGAUCUUAACCAGCUGAUCAUUUCUGCUGCUACAUGAGACAGGGCUCUGUCUUAUACUUUUGUACUAGAUUUUGAGACCACCUUUUGCUUCUUGGAGCUACAUGAGAUCAGAUUUCUUGCGGGGUAAAAAAAUUCAUGAAAACCCUCAAGUAUUUAUGACAUUUAUAUAAAAAUAGAGUUUGAUUUUUCUUUCAAGUAUGUUCCUACAUUAAUCUCUACUUAAAAACUGAAAUAUCAUUUAAAAAAAUAAUUAUUCUUCCACCUUUAAAAUUCAAUAUUAAAGAGUAAUUUGUCAUUUUUAAUUAGAGUUAGAGGCUUGUUUUAUUAUGUAUAUAAAAUAUUUCUUAGGUGCAAGAACCCUCAUUUUUUUGUGCGGAUAUACUAUUAAACCAUGCAGUUUAAAAGUUGAUUAAAAUGAAUGGUGUAAUAGUGUGUCCAUAUAAAAAAAAAAAAAACAUAAUAAGGGCAUUGGCAUUAAAGAACAUAUAUAUUAUCCCAAUUAGGGAUCCCUAACCAUAUUAAAGUCAGGGGACAAGUUAAAAACAAAAAACAAAAACUUCAAUGUAUUUUGUCAUAUAAUGUAUUAAAAUCUGUAUUUUCUUUUAUCUUUUAGUUUAUCCCUAUUUUAAUAUGGUUAAAGAUUCGUAAUUGGAAACCCACUCUAAUUAUCUAUGUAUUUCUUAUUUUUAAUACAUUCGCACAAAUAUUUAUAUACAAUAAAUGUAUUACUUAGCCCUGCCUGAUAAAAGAUCCCGGGUCCGGCUCUGAAGGAAGAUGCAAUAUCCUCCUGCUGACGCUUCAUUAACCUUUUUCCUUUCAUUUUAAACUUUCUGAAUUAUUGCCUUUCGUAAUUCUCAUAUCAUGCAUUGAGUAUUUAUCUAACUAUGAAAUUAAUUUGAUUAAUAGAGUAUGGCAUAGAAGGACGGGUAUCUAUUAAAAGUGAUGUCGUUGCGGAAUUGAGCUUGAAGUAAGUUUUGGAUAAAUCUGCCGUAAAGAAGCAAUGUGUGCUGUCUAUCUUGAGUUUUGGAUUAAUCUCCUUAUCAUUUGUUAUCUUACUUAAUUAUAGCACUAUAUGAUAUUAUUAUACACUAUUUACAGUUUUCUGUGUUUUUUUUUUUUUUCUAAUUACUAACAUAUGAAACUCUAUUGCCUGGGAAAUUCAAGGAAUUUUGUUUGUGUAUAAUUAAUCAUUUCUUUUUUGGGAUUAAUUUAUAAUUAAUUUUGCAGAUACCAAGUAUCUAGAAAGAGCAGGACCCAGCAAGACCGGGUAAUAGAUAUAUAGAGAGAGACUUUGCAAUUGGUAAAUAUUAAGAGUGGCAGCAAUUAAAGUUGAUUAAUAUGCUAGUAUAAUAUUAGUAUUGACAUUAGGCAGAGACGGAGACUUUAGUGAAUAUUAUUGCUAUAUGAGUAAUUUUUGUAUAUGAGCGUGGCUAAUUACAAUUUCCAAAUCUCUGCGGGUUACUGAAAAUUUAAGUGCCUUGCAUAUGACUAUUAACCCAGUUUUUCAUGCUCGCUCGAAGCAUAUUGAAUUAGAUUAUCACUUCAUUUGAGAAAAAGGUUGCUGAUGGUGCCUUGGUUACGAAGUUUGUCCCUUCUUCGUUACAAAUUGCAGAUGUUUUUACUAAGGCUUUGUCAAAAGCCAUGUUCCGCAAUUUCAGAUACAAGCUUGGCGUUCAUCAAAUGUCACUUGCCAGCUUGAGGGGGGAUGUUAAGCAAGCUGACCAAGAUUACUAAAAGGAAAGUCAUCAACGGUCAAGUCAACAACGGGUUUAUCACUCCACACAACUUGCUCACGUCAAAGCUAUUUGUCAAGGAAUAUCUCCAGCACGAUUUUUGCACUUGAAUGCCAAUAUCAUGUAGGAAUAUUUCAUUCCUAUUUUAUAAAGAUAUUGUGCAAUAGUUUAGGAAGUAUUCACUUAUUUUCCUUUAAUAUUAUUAAGCCUUUUAACGGCUACUUUGUCUUUAUUUUGUAUAAAUAAUUCUGUAAAUUUCAUUAAAAAUAUAGAACAAGAAUUAUACUCUUCAUAGAAUUUCUUUCACUAAAUUCAUCAGCCUCUUGAACCCUCUCCUGAGGGCACCUUCUGUCCUCUGUUUUCUGUUACCAUACACUAACAGACAAAAGCAUUCAGAAUGACAACUGGGACAUAUAUAAGAGUGAAAUAAUUGAAAAAUUAUGCUUUUUUGUUUGUCAUGUUAAAAUCGUAAAGUGCGUAAGUACUAUGAAAGAGAUUAGUUUACGGAAACUGAAGCCAAGGGUUAAAAAAAAAAAAGGUGCAAAGAGAAUAAAGGGCAACGCUUAUGUAAAGAGACAUAAUUGUAUUGGUAGCACAAUGUCACGUUCAUACAGGGAUCAAGCAUAUUAUUUACAGGUGGUAAGGGCUAAGAAUUGAUGUAGCUAGAAUACAAAGGUGAUAAGGUAUGUUGUGCACUAUUUAUUUAUUCUACAAUCAAUCUUGACCAUUGAUGCUUGGAUCUCAAUCUUGUCCAUUGAUCUUCUCUGAUCUCGAAAACUUCAAGACCUUUCAAUCUUAUGCCUUAUUAUUGGUGUCUUCCAUGCUGUAGAUUUCAAAUACAAGGUUUCCCGCCAACUUGCCAAGUAUUUGUCCAUUGGUGCAUUUUAUCAAACAGUUUGAUACUUAUACCAAACGCCUUCUGUUUUAACUCCCCCUCUCAAGCUCAACUAUCUGGGAAGACAUUAAUAAACUUGUUUCUCAAGUAUAUGUAUCUGAAAAUGAAAUUUUAAAAAUUAUAUUCGGACUCUACAUUUUCUAAUGAACAUUGGUUUGGCUUAUAAGCUUAUUAUACUCAGGCUUGGUGGGAUUAUCGGUCGGUAGAUGACCGAGUGUUAGAGCUUUCGAAUUUAUGCCAAUUAAAAAAAAAAAAAAAAGAAUCUACAUAAAGUUUCAACUAGGCUACUACCACAAUAAACAUUUGGAUCAACUAUUAUUGAAACCUUAUUGAGAAGUGGGACAUGUCGCAUACCAAUGCACUGACAUAUCUUCAAAUAGUGGUAACUCCACACAGCAUGGCACAAUAAAUUAAGAGUUAUAUAGAUAAAAUCUUUCACUCUUUGGUAAUCAUCAAUUUCACUAUUAUUCGGUUUAUUAUGUUUGUUUCUUUCAGUAUGUUAAAAGAUUAUGUUGUGAAUUUGUUUUACAGGCUGCCCGUAAGUCUGCGCCCACCACCGGUGGUGUUAAGAAGCCUCAUCGUUACCGUCCUGGAACCGUCGCCCUUCGGUUUGUUCUCUAAUUUAAAUUUCCGUUGUAUAGCUUUAGUUGUUCUUGUCUAAUUUUGUGGGUAAUUUUGUAUAGAGAAAUUCGCAAGUACCAGAAGAGUACCGAACUGCUUAUCAGGAAACUCCCAUUCCAGGGACUUGUUCGUGAAAUUGCUCAGGACUUCAAGGUACCUUGUUAUCGUUUUGGUUGUUAUCUUUGUUAUCUUUAAAUUGGGUUCCCAAGAUUUCUUGAUAGACGGUUAAUGGCUAUUUUGUUGUCUGUUUUGCAGACUGAUCUGCGUUUCCAGAGCCAUGCAGUGCUGGCCCUGCAGGAGGCAGCCGAGGCUUAGGGCAUCUCCAAUGUAGCACUAAACCUAACACCAAAUCAUCUUUUACAUCAUUUUUGGUGUAAAAUGCUUCUCCAAUGUAACACCAAAAUGGUGCAAUGAAUAGUAUUGCACCAAAUAUGGUGCAAUACUAUUCAUUUGCACCAUAUUUGGUGCUAGGAAAAAAAGUCUCAAGUAUCCUUAUUACUUUAUCUUAUUUACAUAUAUGUCAUAUUUUAUAUAAUAUUUUAAGUUAUUAUUAUUAUUGUUAUUUUUUAAUUUCAUUUUUUAAUUUUUGAAUAUUUUAAAUAAAAAAUAUUCAACACAAAAAUUUAUAAUAAAAAUAAAAUGCCAAUAACAUUAAUUACUAGAUUACAUAUUACAAAAUUAAAAAUACAAAAUUAAAUUAACACAAAUUAAAAAAGCUACUACUACUAGCAUAAAUUAAAACAAUUAUUUAGUAAUGUGGGAGAUCAUUAUUAGAUUCUCCAAUAUCAUCAAAAUAUUUUUCUAUAUUAAUGUAAUGUUUAAUUUUCAUAAUGCACUUAUUAUUGUUAUUGUAUUUUUCUAUAUUAAUGUAAUGUUUAAUUUUUAUAAUGUACUAAUUUAGUUAAUUAAAUGCAAUAUUUAUUAAUUUUCUAUUUUUUUGUUAAUCGAUAUAAAAUUACUUAUUACUUAAUUAUCUAUAUUAAUAGUAAUAUUUAUUGUGUUAAUUGAAUUAAUUCUUGAGAAUUAAAAGAAUAAAAAGAAAAAUAUUCUUUUUGAUGUAAAAUUUGGUGUAAAUGGGUUGGAGAUGAAAUAAUAAUUUAGUGUGAAAAAGGUUCAUUUUUAGUGUUGGUGUUACACCAAAAUGAUGUUAUGCAUUGGAGAUGGCCUUACCUCGUCGGUCACUUUGAGGACACCAAUUGAAUGACUGGAAAGGGAAGGGGGAAGUUGUAAUGUGUUAAUUUGUAUGUGGGGUUCGUGGGGACGACGUCGCUUUUUCUUAGAUAUUUUUUUUCUUUUUCCUCCCUUAAAAACAGUGAAAUUACUUAUACUGGUUUUUCUAUUUUACAUUUUGAAUAUUAUUAAUUAAUAUAAUUUAAGAUAACAAUCAGGGAUAAAACAAUCAUUUUUUAUUCAAGAUCAUUUUAUCAAUAUUCUGUUAAAUAUUCUCACAAUUUAACUUUAUCCUUAACAAAAAUUUAACUUUUUUUUUUAAACUAACGGAACCAAAUUCUAUAUAUAAAUGUAUAGUACGCAUUAAUAAAUAAAUAAAACUUUGACGACCGGAGGGAAUGAAUAAAUAAAUAGAUAAAACUUUCGAAGCUCGUGAAUGUGCUAUUUUGGUUUUUUUUUUUUAGUAAUUGUUUAAUUGAAAAAAGAAAGCUUCGGGAUUUAUUUUUGACGGGACGGCUGAGAUUUGUUGACCUUCUAGAGAAUGAGAACAGAUUUUCAAUUUGUUGAUUAGUAUUCCUACAGUCCAGCCCAAAAGUACCGGCUCAAUGAGUUCGGUCAUGUUUGGUAACAGGUAUCCAUCACUUUCAAAAUCCGGUCCUACCAACGUAUCGGCUUUUACUGGCUGUCGUAUCAUCCGUGAAUGCAUGGGAGAGUGAGACUACUCCAAUCUCCACGACAGAAAUUUUAGAAUAUAUCUAUUGUAUUAUAAUUAAUUGAUACAUAUAUGACAUGUAUAAUUGAGUAUAAUAUAACCACUAUUUAUAUAAUAAUUUAUAAAAUAAAUGCACACAUAUUAUGACAUUAUUUACUUGUUAUAUGGAUAAUAAAUGCACACAUGUCAUCAGUCUUUGGUAAACAAAUUCACAAUAUAUAUUAAUCUUUGUGGAAGCUAUGUCCAAAAAAUAAAUAUUGUAAAAAAAUUUUAAUUAAUAAUUUUUUGGACAUUAAUAAAAAAAAUUAAUAUAUUAACUCCUCAUGGAGUAUUCAAAACAAUUGAUAUAAAUUUUGUUGUUUCUAUUUUACUUUUUUGGUUUAAAUUGACAAUUUAAUUUUUCUUUUUAUUAAUGUCCAAUAAAAAAGAAAUAUUAUUGUACGAGUGUAAUACUGUAAAAACAAGUCAAAAAGAAUAAAAAGUAACAAUUAGGGUGUCAAUACUUAACAACAAAGAUGUUUUGAGAUAUUUUUAAAAAUAUAAGGAUUAAACGAGAUUUUACCAUUAUUAAUUAUAGUCAUCUUUUUAUAAAUUACAAUUAGAGGAAGUUGGUUAAUGUUGUUGACACGCACGCACACAUAAAGAUUUAUUGGAAGUGCUUAUGCCGACUCGAAGUUGUUGGGAAUUAAUGCAUGUAUUGAUUUAUUGGGAGUGUUUAAAUGAUUUUGUGAUUUACUUGAUUGAUUGAAUAUUGUUUGAUUGCUUCAUAUCCAUUCUACAAAGUUUAUUUCUUUGUGAAAUUUCAACGACAUAUUUUUAAAAAAUAAUAAUAAUAAGGGUGUUCUAAAUCAUUUUAAAAAAUAUAUGGACUUAUUAGAAUUAAUUACUAGGUAAUUAACUUGAUCUGUACAGGGUGAAACAACAUUUAUCCUAAUUGUAUCAUGACAAAUACUUUUCCGAUUAGAAUUAGGAAACCAUAGGUUUAUUGAAUUAUUUUUUUUUAUUUUCGUUUGGAGAAACGGAUUAGAGAAUUAGAAAACAAUCCUAAUGAUAUAAUUAUCAGGUUUAAAACAGUGCAUAAACAGUGAAAAGCUAAUUAGUCUGUAGAGUAAUUUGCUAAUUGUUAUCUCCUCUCUAUGCGCGCUGAAUAAUUUGUUGCAUGCAAACUUUUUAUUUUAUGCAAAUCGUACUUACUGUAACAUUGGAAUUGAUGUAUAAGCAAAAUUACAAUAAUAUUUAUGUCAAUAAAAAUAGUUUUUUUUUCCUUUUUAAAUAAACACAACGCGAUGUUGCUCUGCUCUACAUUUUUGCUAUCUCUUUAUUCUUUUUUUUUUUUUGGGCUUCUUAAAGCCUCAAACUUUGAUAACCAAAACUUCAUCGACCUAUGAAAAAAUCUGCAGAUUAGUUUUUAUUAUCGGAAUAAUUGUUUGAGAAUACGAAAACAAAAUAUAAAAUAAGAAAAUAGGGGGUUAAAUUAGAGGGGGAAAAAAAGGCAUGUUCUAUCGAUUACUAUAGUUUAAGGGAAAAAAAAUCAAUUGGGGAUUUUUUUUCUUUAAUUUUUGUUUUACUUGAUGGAGAUUUCUCCUUAGUCCUUACAGUUUUAAGUUUGGAUGCCGUAGGGUUAGUAAUUUAGUACUUCCUUUGCAAGCUGAGUGUAAGAAUGAAAAUCUUUAAAGAAAUUAAAAAAGAAAAAAAUAAAAAAAGCAUACCAAUAGGCAAUUAUAAAUAACCAUAAAUAAACAUAAACAAAAUGUUUAUGAAGUAAAUUACACAUGCACAUAUUAUUUUCUUGUUUUAUUUCUUACUUGUCUAUUUUAUUUGCUGCUUGAUAACCCUUAAAUACUAAUCUAGUACUGCUAAUUUCAGACACAAAAUGUUUAACUCUAGGCUGCAGUUUUACUCAAAAUGAUGACCACUGGCUUCGCACCAUUUAACCAGCAUACAUUUCUACAAAGGGAAAAGGACAUUCAACCCCCCAACGUUUAGGAAAAUGGACAAAAAACCCUUCAACGUUUCAAAAAGGACUUAUAACCCUCUUUCUGUUAACAAACACCGUUUGUUUUAACAGUAAAUUUAUUUUUAAUUUUUAAUUACUAUUAUACCCUUAUAAUAAAAAAAUUAAUGUAUUAAUUUGAGAUAUAUCACAAUUAAUAAUUUUUUAAAAGCUUAAAAUUAAGAUACAAUUAUUUUUUUGCCAAAAUUAUUUACUAUAAAUUAUACCUUUCUAACAAUAAUAAUAUCGUUUUGAUUCCUCAAAGAAAAAGAGUUUAAUCAAAUUUCGUUUUAUUAGUAAUAAUCACAUAUGAAAGAUUUUAUCAUUAGAAACGUAUAAUUUAUAGCAAAUAAUUUGGGCAAAAAUGUAAUUGUAUCUCAAUUUUUAGUUUUAAAAAAAUUAUUAAUUGUGACAUGUCUCAAAUCAAUAUAUUAAUUUAUAUUUAUUAUAAGGGUAUAAUAGUAAUUAAAAAUUAAAAAUAAAUUUACUGUUAAAACAAACGGUAUUUAUUAACGGAAAGAGGGUUAUAAGUCCUUUUUAAAAUAUUGAGGGGUUUUUUGUCCCUUUUCCUAAACGUUGGGGGGUUGAACGUCCUUUUCCCUUCUACAAAUUGAACAAGGCUAUUAAUUUUCAUUAUUAUUUUUUAUUUAUUUAUAAAUUACUAUUUUAAUUUUCACUUUUUAUUGGGUUGUUUAACGGAUUAGUGAAGUUGGUGGUCGUGAUGCACUCACAAGGUACAAUUUUAUUUUAUAAUUUCGAAUUUGUAUUUUAAAAUGCAGGAACAUUAUGUAUACAUAAUUAUUGAUUUUCGUAUGUGGAUGUUUUGAAAUAUUGCUAAAAGACCAAACUUUAAUAAACUAUUUUUCAUCUUUUUUUUCCUAAAGUUUGAGUGAUAUCCGCAUUUUAAAUUCAUCUGGAACAAAAGCUAAUGUAUGCACAAAAUUCUUUUAUUUUUUCCGAGAAAAAUGGGUAAGAGAAGAAGAUUUUUCUCUUGAAAAAGAAAAACUAAUACGAUGCAAGCAUAGGAAAGAGGUCAAUGUUUUGGAUUAGAAUUUAGUAUUGAGCUGAAUUUUAUACUAAACUCUUUUAUAGUACUGCGAUUAAUAAACUCAUGAUUUGCUUUUGCUUUUACUUCAAGUGAAAGAAAGAGGAAACCUUUUGUUUUUUGUUUGAUUCUUGACUAUAGAUGUUACCUAUAUAGAGAGUUGAGGUAGCUACCUUAAGUGAUGGUGAUAAAAAGAUUAAGCAGCGCACACAAUCUUACUGUCGUCCAGACCAUCCAGCUGUGAUGACUCUAGUUUUUUGGGUUACAUUAGCUUUAGUGGAAAGGAGGGCCAAUUUAACAAAGACUAGAUUUGGUGGCUUACUAUAAUGCUUAUUCUCAGGGAAUCUAAUGUUAUAAGAUGAUUUAAUGAUCUUCUAUGAUUGUGAGUAGUAUAGUAUAAUUGAAAAGAGCCUGGGCUCCUAUGAUGAAUAUAUAAUAGUAACACAGUACUGUGAUUGAAAAAAACACAGUUACAAUAAACUCUUCAUUUAUUCAUUGCGGAGAUUGAAUGGCAAAGAGAGAAUAAAAUGAAGCAGAGGAAUCUCAUUGCCAGUAAAAUUGAUCCUCUUUAAUGUUAUAUGGCACAGGUGUGUGUACAGCAAGAGCAAGUUACUUGCAGUUUUUAUUGUAAAAUAUACAGGUUAUGACCAUGAUCAUUGUAGUUAGGUUUUGAUGAUUUUAGAUGCUUUUUUUUUAUUUUUUUAAAUUGUGACACCUUUGAUUUAUGGUAGUUUUGCAGAAGAAAAAAAUAUAUAUAAAAAUUAGGAGGGAUGAGUUAACUAACGAUUGCAAUCAUUACAGUAAUGUUGAUGAGUGAUACAUCAUUUGAAAUUUACUUGUCAGUUGCUGAAAUGAUGAAAAAAAACAAUAAACAAUAGCAGUAAUAUUUUUAUGGAAAUUCUUGGUUUUUAUGGAAAUACUCUUGCUGAAAUUCUAAUUUUGACUUUCAACUCUUGGUUUUUAUGGAAAGUAAAAUGACUUGUUUGUUAUAUUCAUACAACCCACUCUACAUAAUGAUUUCAUUUUAAUAAAUGGUUGAUGAUCUCCACAGAAAAACUACUUCAAUUCUUUUUUUUUUUAUUUAACUUUUUGGUUGUUGAAAAUAGCCUUAAUUUUCAAAUCAUUGGAGAAAGAGUAAAGAACAUUUAACAAAUUUAUGUGCCAAAAAUAAAGGAGAAAUUGAAGAGAAAGGGUGCUUGCAGAAGUGGGUGCAAAGAUAAAUCAGUCCAUAAGAAUUAUUGUGGUUAUUAAUUUUUUGGCAAUAUAAAAAUUUUUCAGCAAAUAAAAAUUGAAUUUUCCGAUUUACUAAAAAAUCAAUUAAAAACUUCGGCGAUAGCAUUUUUUAUGGGUGCAUGUACCCUCCCUUUAAAAAAAAAUAAUAAUUAAUACUUAAUAUAGUAUUAAAUACGAAAAUAUCAAUAUUUGACUACACAAAUUUAUAUCAUUAGGUCCUUAAAAUUUAAAAUUGAAGACACAAAAUGAAAUAUAUAUAAAUUUCAUUCUCAUAGGAAAGGAUCCUCUUAUAAUCUUAAAAUAUUUGAGCUUUGAAAGAUUUUUUAAAACAAAUGUACUUUUAUUUUUGUACAAUCAAUAAUUACUUAUUUAUUAUAUUUUUAUUCAUUAACUAUCAAUCAUGUGAGUAUAUCUACUCAGAAAUAUCAUAUCAAGGGAGAAUCUUGAUCCCACGCACACGCAAAUAUGUUAAUUUCUAUACGCUUCACUUACCUGUAGAAUCAAUUAUCUAAAAUGCAAGUUUGUGGCCACAAAAAAAGCCAAAGAAAGAAGAUAAUAACAAUUGACUUGUAUAUUAUACUCAUACAAUCCACUCGACAUAAUGAUAUCAUUUUAAUAAGGCAAUGGCUGAUGAUCUCCAUUGAAAAACUAAUUCAAUUUUUUGCUUCAUUUAACUUGUUGGUUGUUGAAAAUAACCUUAAUUAUCAAAUAAUUGGAGAAAGAGUAAAGAACAUUUAACAAAUUUAUGUGCAAAAAAAAAAAAAAGAAAGGAGAAGUUGAAGAGAAAGGGUGCUUGCAGAAGUGGGUGUCAAAGAAAAAUCAGUCCAUAAUAAUUAUUGCCGUUAUUUUUUGGCAAUAUAAAAUUUUUAUAGCAAGUAAAAAUUAAUUUUUUUCCAAUUUACUAAAAACUUCUGCGACAGCAUUUUUUAUGGGUGCUUAUACCAUCCCUUUAAAAAAAAUAAUAAUAAUUUAAUGCUUAAUAUAGUAUUAAAUACGAAAAUAUCAAUAUUUGACUACUCAAAUUUAUAUCAUUAGGUCCUUAAAAUUUAAAAUUGAAGAUACGAAAGGAAAUAUAUAUAAAUUUCAUUCUCAUGGAAAGGAUUCUCUUAUAAUCUUAUAAUAUUUGAGUUCUGAUUUUUUUUUUAAACAAAUGUAAUUUUAUUUGUGCACAAUCAGUAUUUACUUAUUUAUUAUAUUUUAAUUUAUUAACUAUCAAUCAUGUAAGUAUAUUUAGUCAGAAAAAUUAUAUCAAGAGAGAAUCCUAAUUUCACGCAAACACAAAUAUAAGACAAAUAUGUCAAUUUCUAUACUAUUCACUUCCUGUAGAAUCAAUUAUCUAAAAUGCAAGUUUGUGGCUACAGAAAACUCGCCAAAGAAAGAAGAUAAUAACAAUUGAGCAUUGAUAGCAAAACUAAUGCAUCAUUUUAUUCUUGACUUGAUGAGAUGGUGGCAUUACAAAAAAAACAAGUACCUUAAUUGACGGGCACUGAGUGAUGUGAAUACUACCAGCCAGUUCAUCUCUUCCAGUCUUGCUUAAUCACAAUCACAAACACCACGAGAUCGACAUUUGCAUUAUAUAUAUCUUCAGCAAUCGAAACACCUUGCAUUACCAAAUUAACCAGUAACAAACAAAGCAAUCUUUCAUGGAGAGAAACCUUAGUCUCAGUAUGAUCACUGUGUCAUUAACCCACUGCCUGCUUCUUUGCUUGGUUGUUGCAGCAGCAGCAGCAGCAAGCAACAAUAUUACCACAGACCAACAAGCUCUUCUUGCCCUGAAAGAUCAUAUAACUUAUGAUCCAACCAACCUUUUUGCCCAUAAUUGGACCUCGAAUACCUCUGUUUGUACCUGGAUUGGCAUCACUUGUGAUGUCAAUAGCCAUAGAGUCACAGCCUUAGAUAUUUCUCAAUUCAAUCUACAAGGCACCAUCCCUCCUCAACUCGGAAACCUCUCUUCACUCACAACGCUUAAUCUUAGUCAUAACAGGCUUUCUGGAAACGUUCCCUCCUCCAUCUACACAAUGCAUACGCUAAAAUUUCUUGACUUCACUGAUAACCAGCUCUCUGGUUCAGUGUCUUCCUUCGUCUUCAACAUGUCUUCAAUAGUAGACAUUCGUUUGACCAAUAACAGACUUUCUGGUGAGCUUCCGAAAACUAUUUGCAACUAUCUUCCUCAUUUGAAAGCCCUUUUUUUGGACAAAAACAUGUUUCAUGGCAAAUUUCCUUCUGCUUUAUCAAAGUGCAAACAACUGCAACAAUUAAAUUUGCAGUUCAAUAAUUUAUCCGGUGCAAUACCAAAAGAAAUCGGCAACUUGACUAUGCUCAAAUGGAUAGACCUCGGCUACAACAAACUCCACGGUAUGUCCAUAAUAAUAUGUAAAUAUUUUAAUUUCUCACUUGUUAUUUUUCUUGAAUACUUUAGAUAAGAUUUGUAAGGGAGAUUUUUUUGCAUCUGUGUUAAUUUGCUAGGUGAGAUACCCCACGAAAUCGCUCAUCUUCGAAAUCUAGAGGAUUUAGUGCUUGGAAUGAACAACCUAGUUGGUGUGGUAUCAGCUACAAUCUUCAACAUGUCAACACUGAAGGUAAUUAUUCUCGCAAAUAACUCUCUCUCCGGAAGUCUUCCAUCAAGAAUAGACCUUUCACUUCCAACUAUUGAGCAUCUUAGCUUGGCACUUAAUAGAUUUUCUGGAACCAUUCCUAGUUCCAUCACCAAUGCUUCUAAGCUCACCUUGCUAGAAUUGGGAGGAAACACAUUUUCAGGCUUUAUUCCAAAUACAGUUGGUAAUUUAAGAAACCUUGAGAGACUCGGCUUGGCUAAUAACUCCUUGACAUCUUCCACCUCAAGAUUGAGUUUUCUUUCCUCUUUGGCAAAUUGCAAGAAAUUAAGAUCCUUAAACUUAAAUGGAAAUCCACUUGACGGCUUCCUUCCAAGUUCAAUAGGUAAUCUUUCCAUGUCUUUGAAAAUACUUCUCAUCGCCAAUUGCAGUAUUAUUGGCAACAUUCCUCCAGCAAUUAGCAAUUUAAGCAACUUGUUGGCCUUAGUAUUAGACCGCAAUAAAUUGACUGGACCAAUUCCAAUUACAUUCGGCCGACUGCAGAAACUCCAAGGCUUAUAUCUUGCAUCCAAUAAGUUGGUAGGUUCAUUCCCAGAUGAGCUUUGCCAUCUAGCUAGGCUGGCUGAAUUGGUCUUAUUGGGCAAUAAGCUUUCAGGAUCUAUACCUUCAUGCUUAAGUAACCUCACUUCUCUGAGAUCUCUCUACUUAGGGUCCAAUAGGUUUACUUCUGUUAUUCCCUCAACCUUCUGGAGCCUAAAAGACAUCUUGUUCUUUGACUUUUCAUCAAAUUUCUUUGUUGGUACUCUUUCUUUCGACAUAGGUAAUUUGAAGGUGCUUCUAGGAAUAAAUUUAUCAGAAAAUAACUUAUCGGGUGAUAUCCCAGCCACAAUUGGAGGAUUAAAAAACCUUCAAAUUAUGGACCUAGCAUAUAAUAGAUUGGAAGGGCAAAUUCCUGAAUCAUUUGGUGACUUGACAAGUUUGGAGUUUUUGAAUUUGUCAAAUAAUAAAAUCUCUGGGUCUAUUCCAACAUCCAUGGAGAAACUGUUUUUCCUCCGAGUGUUAAAUCUCUCUUUCAAUAAACUAGAAGGUGAGAUUCCUAGUGGAGGAAUUUUUGCCAACUUCACGGCUGAGUCAUUUAUGGGAAAUGAGUUAUUGUGUGGUUUACCAAAUCUUCAAGUCCAACCAUGCAAAGUUAGCAAGCCGAGGAAAGAACAUAAAUCAAGGAAAAAGAUACUUCUCAUUGUGAUUGUUUUGCCAUUGAUUAUUGCUCUAACAAUAGCAAUCACUCUAGCUCUCAAAUCUAAGCGGAUUGAAUGUGGAAAAAGAAGCACAGUGUUGUCAAAUGAUAGUGUCUUGUCAUCACAAGCAACACUAAGAAGAUUUUCAUACUUAGAACUUUUACGAGCAACAGAUAAUUUUGCUGAAAACAACAUAAUUGGCAGAGGAGGUUUUGGUUCUGUUUAUAGAGCAAGACUUGAAGAUGGGAUGAAGAUUGCAAUAAAAGUGUUUCAUCAGCAAUGUACAAGCGCAUUGAAGAGUUUUGAAGUUGAAUGUGAAGUGUUAAAAAAUAUUCGCCAUCGAAACCUUCUCAAAGUUAUCAGCAGUUGUUCGAACCAUGACUUCAAAGCAUUAGUCCUAGAAUACAUGUCCAACGGGAGCUUGGGGGAUUGGCUGCAUUCGAGCAAUUAUGUGCUGAAUAUAUUUCAGAGGUUGAACAUAAUGAUUGACGUUGCAUCAGCUUUAGAAUAUCUCCACUUCGAUCAUUCAACUCCUAUUAUUCAUUGUGACUUAAAGCCUAGUAAUGUAUUGUUGGACGAAAAUAUGGUUGCUCAUUUGAGUGAUUUUGGCAUAGCAAAGCUUUUAAGUGGAGAGGAUGAGUCUACGAUGCGAACAAAAACCCUUGCCACUAUAGGUUAUAUGGCACCAGGUUUGCUUCGAACAACUUUUUUUUUUUAGUUCAUUUUAAAUUUUGCAACUUAUUGAUUUUUACGAUCCUCACAUCAAAAUGUUAUUGAUUAUUUAUCUAAUUGUGAAAUUAAUUUGAUUCAUAGAGUACGGCAUAGAAGGAGAAGUAUCUACAAAAAGUGAUGUUUACAGCUAUGGGAUUAUGUUGAUGGAAACUUUUACCAAGAAAAAACCCACAGAUGAAAUUUUUGUUGCAGAAUUGAGCUUAAAACGUUGGGUUAAUGACUUGCUUCCUACUUCAUUAGUGGAAGUUGUGGACAAAACUCUGCUAAGUGGAGAGGAAAAACAUUUUGCAUCAAAGGAGCAAUGUCUGUUGUCUAUCUUUAGUUUGGCUCUGGAGUGUACAAUGGAAUCACCGGAAAAGAGGAUCAAUGCAAAAGAUAUUGUUACCAGAUUACUCAAGAUAAGAGACACAUUGAGUAAAAGGAUAGGAAACUUAAGUUAAUUUCGUUUGCUUUCAUUGAUAGUUAAUUCGAAUUCAUGUAAUAAGUGUAAGAAUCUUAUAUCUUUUCCUUUGAUAUAUUUUUUUUCUUGAGAAAACUGUUGUAGUCAUGUUGUUUCCAUGGGUAGAGUUGAUUUAGUUCUUCCAAAAAAUGCUACUGAUGACCUUUGUUUUAUACUUUCUCUUUUUUUGCAUGUGUUUAGGUAGAACAGUGGUUUGGCUGCAGGCUAAGAAGUCUAACUACACUAAAAGAAUAUGAUUUAAUUUAUUAAACAAAACUUCAAGUUCAAGAAAAGUAUUUCACUGCCCCCAAUGCUUUGGACACGUACUGGUAGUUUUGUACGUGUCCUCAACUUUUUUUUGGAGCACAAAAUUCGAGUCCCAUGGAGACUCAAACAUUCCUUUCCCACAUCCCGAGCACGCUAAAUUUAUCAGACUGACAACGGGGACAUAUACAAGAGUGAAAUGUUUAGAGCACGCUAAGUUCGAGUGAAAGAGAUUAAUUUACGGAAACUAAAGCCAAGGGUUCAGAAAAAAGUGCAAAGAGAAUAAAGGACAACACUUUUGUGAAGCGACAUUGUUGUAUUGAUAGCACAAUGUCAUAUUCAUACAGAGAUCUAGAAUAUUAUUUACAGCUGGUAAGGGCUAAGAAUUGAUGUAGCUAGAAUACAAAGACGAUAAGGUAUGUUGUGCACUAUUGUUUUAUUCUACGAUCAAUCUUGACCCUUGAUGCUUGGCUCUCAAUCUUGUCCACUGAUCUUCUUUGAUUUUGGACACUUCAAGACCUUUCAGUAUCAUGCCUUGUUAUUGGUGUCUUCCGUGCUGUGGAAUUCAUGUACAAGCUUUCCCGCCGACUUGCCAAGUAUUCGUUCAUUGAUGCAUUUUUAUCAAACAGCUGGGCUACUUAUACCAAACACCGCCUGGUUUAACUCCCCUUCUCUAGCUCAACUAUCUAGGAAGACAAUUAAUUGAGAUAUGAAUCAGAAAAUUAAAUUUUAAAAAUUAUAUUCGGACUCUACAUUUUGUAAUGAACAUUGGUUUGAAUUGUUAUACAUUUAUGCGUACAUAAUUAAUAACCGAUUCUCAAGUGCGGACAUUCAAGAGCACUGCUUAAAGACCAAAUAUUUUGAUUUACUAUUUUUUGACUUACAAUUUUCUUUUAAGUUUUGAUGACGUCCGCAUUUUAAAAUCCUGUGGAACAAAGGCCUGAGGUGCAUAUAAAAUUCUUUUAUAUAAAAUUUGGGGUUCAAUAAAUUAUCGGGAGCCAUACCGAAAGAAAUCGGCAACUUUAUUAUGCUUCGAACGAUAUCUCUCAGAAAUAAUAAACUUCGCGGUAUAAAUGUUUAUAAUAUAUACUUUGUAAAUGCUCUUAUUAAUCAUUCUUAAACUUUCUUAGAGACUUUUGUCUAAAUAAAUUUCGUAAGAGAGUUUUUUGCAUCUCUGUUAAUUUUGCAGAUGAGAUACCUCACGAAAUUGGGUAUCUUCCAAAUCUAGAGAAUUUGGCGCUUGGAUUCAACAACCUGGUAGGUGUUGCACCUGCUGCAAUCUUCAACAUGUCAACAGUGAAAGAAAUUUACCGGUUAGAUAACUCUCUCUCGGGAAGUUUUUCAUCAGGAAUAGACCUUUCACUUCCUGAACAGAUUUUCUGGAACCAUUCCUAGUUUCAUCACCAACGCAUCUAAACUUGUAUAUCUAGAUAUGGGAACAAACUCUUUUUCGGGCAUUAUUCCGAACACAAUUGGUAAUAAUCUAAGAAACCUUGACUGGCUCGACUUAACAUACAAUUGCUUGACAUCUUUAACUCUAGAAUUGAGCUUUCUUUCCUCUUUGACAAAUUGCAAGAAAUUAAGAUUCUUAGGCUUAACAGGCAAUCAACUUGACGGUGUCCUUCCAACUUCAAUAGGUAAUCUUUCUAUGUCUUUGGAAAACAUUUACAUCUCAAAUUGUAGUAUUGGCGGCAGCAUUCCUCAACUAAUCAGCUAUUUAAGCAAUUUGUUGCUCUUAGAUUUAGAAGGCAAUAAGUUGACUGGAUCAAUUCCAGUCACAUUCGGCCGGUUGCAGAAACUCCAAGGUUUAUAUCUUCCAUUUAACAAGUUAGCAGGAUCAAUCCCAGACCAGCUUUGCCAUUUAGCUAGACUGGAUACAUUAGGUUUGGCUGGUAAUAAGUUUUCUGGAUCAAUCCCUUCAUGUUUAGGUAAUCUCACUUCUCCACGGUUUCCCGACUUAGGGUCCAAUAGGCUUACAUCAGUCUUGCCCUCGACUUUUUGGAAUCUAAAAGACAUUUUGUUCUUUGACCUUUCAUCAAAUUCUUUGGAUGGUCCUCUUUCUUUAGACAUAGGAAAUUUAAAGGUUGUGAUAGGUAUAAAUUUAUCACGAAAUAACUUUUCAGGUGAUAUCCCAAGUACAAUUGGAGGUCUAAAAGACUUACAGAAUAUCUCCUUAGCAUGUAAUGGAUUGGAAGGUCUAAUUCCUGAAUCAUUUGGUUACUUGACAGGUUUGGAAAUUUUAGAUUUGUCAAAUAACAAAAUCUUUGGGUUUAUUCCGAUAUCUUUCGAAAAACUCUUGUACCUCAAAAGCUAAAUUUGUCUUUUAACAAACUAGAAGAAGAGAUUCCUAGGGGAGGACCUUUUGCAAAUUUCACAGCUAAGUCAUUCAUGGGAAAUGAGAAAUUGUGUGGUUUACCAAAUCUCCAAUUCCCAAAAUGCAAGCGUCGGACGCGUUGAAAAUCAAAGAAAAAGAUGCUUCUACUUGUGAUUGUCUUGCCAUUGAGUACUGCUCUAAUAAUCGUAAUCCCUCUAGCUCUCAAAUAUAAAUCGAUAAGAGGUGGAAAGAGUAGUACUAGGUUGUUAAAUGAUGUUAUCUUGUCAUAACAAGGAACACUAAGAAGAUUUUCAUACCAAGAUCUUUUUCGUGCAACAGAUAAAUUUAGUAAAGACAAUCUAAUUGACAUAGGAAGUUUUGGUUCUGUUUAUCGAGGAAGACUUCGUGAUGGAAUUGAGGUUGCAAUAAAAGUGUUUCACCAGAAUUUGUGCAAUGGCAUUGAAGAGUUUUGAGGCUGAAUGUGAAGUGAUGAAAAAUAUUCGCCAUCGAAAUCUUGUCUAAAUAAUCAGUAGUUGUUCGAACGAAGAUUCCAAAGCAUUAGUUCUAUAAUAUAUGCCCAAUGGGAGAUUGGAGGAUUGCUUGCAUUCUACCAAUUGUUCGUUAAAUAUUUUUGGCAGGUUGAACAUAAUGAUAGAUGUUGCAUCGGCUUUGGAAUAUCUCCACUUCAAUCAUUCAACUCCUAUCAUUCAUUGCGACUUAAAGCCUAGUAAUGUAUUGUUAGAUGAAAGUAUGGUUGCUCAUUUAGUGAUUUUGGAAUUGGAAGGCUCUUAACUGGAGAUCAAUCAAUGACAUAAACAGAAACACUUGCCACAAUUGAUUAUAUGGAACCAGGUUUGCUCUGAAACAAUUUUUUUUUUUUUGAGUUUUCAUUUAGACUUUCCAAAUUAUUAUUUUUUCCAUGAUCCUUCUAUCCUAAUGUUAUUGAUUAAUUAUCUAAUGAUAAAAUCAACUUGGUUGAUAGAAUAUGGCAUAGAAGGACGAGUGUCUACAUGAAGUGAUGUUUAUAGCUAUGGAAUUAUAUUAAUAGAAAUAUUUACCAGGAAGAAACCCACAGAUGAAAUGUUUACUACAGAAUUGAGCUUGAAGCUUUGGGUUAACAACUUACUACCUGCUUCAUUGAUGGAACUUGUGGACAAAACUCUUUUAAGAAGGGAAGAAGAAGAUUUUACUAUGAAGGAGCAGAGUGUGUUAUCAAUCCUGAGUUUAGCUUUGAAGUGUGUGAUGGAAAUGCCAGAAAAAAAGAUCAAUGCAAUAGAUAUUGUAACUAAACUAUUGAAACUAAGAGACAUACUGAGCAAAGGUUAGCAAAUUUAGAUUAACCUCAUUUCUUGGCAUUGAUAUUUUAACUUGAAUCAAUAUAUACUUAAUUUGAAUCGAUGUAUGAGUGUAAGAAUAUGAUAUAUUUUCCUUUGAUUUGUUUUUUCUUGAGAGAAAUAUCGUAGCUAUCUUGUUUCAAAUUAAUUUUAUGCAUUUUUUUUCUUUUUCUAAGAUCAUGCCUAAGAGCCGUAGGAAGAUCAGCUAAAAAUUCAAAGCCGGCUAAGGCAUUGGAAGAUGGAGAGAUUGUUAGUUUUUUCCCUAUUGAAAUUAAUAUAUAUCACCUAUCCCAACUAUUUUCAUAAUGUGUGAUAACCUCCUGCCACUAUAAUUUUACCAUAUAAUCCUUAUUUUUAAAUACACUUUUAUUCAUAUUAAUAUUAAUUAAAUAAAUCAUAUGAGUUGAAAUUAAAAUUAAAAAAUUAAAUGCCAAAAAUAAGAAAUAUACGUUUUAGUGUGAUAAAAAAAAUAAUAUUAAAAUAUUUUUCUUGUACUUUUUAUUAUACAACCAAUGUUAAGUUCAAGUCCAGUUGCAAGUCCCAUUUGGUCAUGCAUUGUGUUCGUUUCGCUACUGAAUCCUUCAUAAAAUAGUUUAAGGUUUGGAAGUUGGUUGGAUAAAUAGUGCCAUAAUGGUAGUUACUUUUUUUUAUUUCGUAUGACUUUUCGCUAGUGUAUCACUCCUAGCAUAUAAUUAAUCAAUUCUUCCAGGCAUACCAUGACUUGAUUGUGAUGCUGUGGAUUAUCUAGGAAGCAUUUGUGUGUUAAUGUAUUAAACUUUUGUCAUACUGUAUGACUGGUCUUUCUCAGUUUUAUCAAACAUAUGUUCCUUCUGAAAAUAUUAAAGUGGAUUUGAUAGUUUAAGCAAUUUGUGGUUGGAUUUUGGCAGUUUGAAGUUGUAAUUCUGGUACCAAUCAAGACAAGGAAGUGGAUGCCAAGUGUCAAACAACAAGUGGGCAUCUGAAAGUCACGCCACAUUGGAUGAUCCCACAAAAAAUGAACCUUACAGAGGAACAACAUGGACAGAUUGAGCAGGAGCUAUAAAUGGAUAAAAUUUGAGCAGCUGGAGGAUCCAUAGGUGACAAGAAACAACCGGAUUAUUCGAACGGACGUACCUCUAAUGGUCUAUCUGGAAAGUCCAGCGGGUAUGAAGUCUAUACGUGAAGUGGAUGAGGAGGAAGAUGAUACUAAUUCUAGAAACUUCAAGAGCUUUCAUUCUCAUGCUUUAUGAAUUUCUUUCUUGCUUCAGAAUUCAAAUGCAAGCUUUCCCUCUCAGUAUUUCUUCAUUGAGACAUUCUUCUCGAACAGGUUUAUACUUAUGUCAAACAUCUUCUGUUAUAACUAGGAAGCCAGUAAGAUUGUUUUUCAAGUACGUUAAGCGGAAACAAUAGGCAAGGCCUUUUGUCAUUAUAUCUGCCACUUGAUUUUUUCUGCGCAAGUACUUCUUAUUCAAUUCGUUUGUUCCAAUUUUGUCCCUAAUGAAGUGGUCUUAUAUCCCCACACACUUUGCUCUUCCAUGAAAGACUAGAUUCUGUGCAAGUGCUAUUGCACUCUUGUUGUCACAUCACAACAGAGGAAUAAUUAAACAUACAUGAAUAUGCACUUUAGUAAGCAAGGAUCUUAACCAGCUGAUCAUUUCUGCUGCUACAUGAGACAGGGCUCUGUAUUAUACUUUUGUACUAGAUUUUGAGACCACCUUUUGCUUCUUGGAGCUACAUGAGAUCAGAUUUCUUGCGGGGUAAAAAAAUUCAUGAAAACCCUCAAGUAUUUAUGACAUUUAUAUAAAAAUAGAGUUUGAUUUUUCUUUCAAGUAUGUUCCUACAUUAAUAUCUACUUAAAAACUGAAAAUAUCAUUUAAAAAAAUAAUUAUUACUCCACCUUUAAAAUUCAAUAUUAAAGAGUAAUUUGUCAUUUUUAAUUAGAGUUAGAGGCUUGUUUUAUUAUAUAUAUAAAAUCAUUCUUAGGUGCAAGAACCAUCAUUUUUUUGUGCGGAUACAGUAUUAAACCAUGCAGUUUAAAAGUUGAUAAAAUGAAUGGUUUAAUAGUGUGUCCAUAUAAAAAAAAAAAACAUAAUAAGGGCAUUGGCAUUAAAGAACAUAUAUAUUAUCCCAAUUAGGGAUCCCUAAUCAUACUAAAGUCAGGGGACAAUUUAAAAAAUAAAAAAACAAAAACUUCAAUACAGUAUAUUUUGUUAUAUAGUAUAUUGAAAUAUGUAUUUUCUUUUGUCUUUUAGUUUAUCCCUAUUUUAAUAUGGUUAAAGAUUUGUAAUUAGAAACUCACUCUAAUUAUCUAUGUAUUUACUAUUUUUAAUACAUUCACACAAAUAUUUAUAUACAAUAAAUGUAUUACUUAGCCCUGCCUGAUAAAAGAUCCCGGGUCCGGCUCUGAAGGAAGAUGCAAUAUCCCCCUGCUGACGCUUCAUUAACUUUUUCCUUUCAUUUUAAACUUUCUGAAUUAUUGCCUUUCGUAAUUCUCAUAUCAUGCAUUGAGUAUUUACCUAUAUGAAAUUAAUUAUUGAUUAAUAGAGUAUGGCAUAGAAGGGCGGGUAUCUAUUAAAAGUGAUGUUUACAGCUAUGGAAUUAUGCUAAUGGAAACAUUUACCAAGAAGAAACCCACAGAUGUUGUCGCGGAAUUGAGCUUGAAGUGUUGGAUUAAUGACUUGUUACCUAUUUCAUUGAUGGAAUUGUUGUGGACAUAAAUCUGCUAAGUGGAGAGGAAAGACAUUUUUGCCGUAAAGAAGCAAUGUGUGCUGUCUAUCUUGAGUUUGGCUUUGGAGUGUACCAUGGAAUCACCCGAAUAGAGGAUCGAUGCAAAAGAUAUUGUUACUAGACUUUUGAAGAUAAGAGAUAAGUUGACUAAAAGUUAAGCAAAUUUAAAUUAACUUCUUCUCUUUUCUUUUCUUUUCUUUUCAUUGUAAUGAACUUUAAUCCAUGUUAUGAGAAGACUCUUACAGCAAGAAGUGUAAGAACAUUGAAUAUUUUCCUCAGAUAUUUUGUUGAGAAAACUAUUGUAGCCAUCUUUUUCCCAUGGGAGCUGCAAUGAGCAGACUCUUCAACAAUGUGCAAUAUUAUACAGUAUAUUCAAAGACACACUAUCACACUAAAAAAUCUUGAGUUGACUCCUUAAUUUAUUUCAUCAAUCCCCACUUUUGAGUUAAUAUUAUUUAUCUUAGGAUUGUCCUUAUUGAAAAAUAAAAAUAAUUAAAAAAAUAAAUAUUUUUUCAUUCUCUCAAGCUCUUAGUAGAUUAAAUUCUUAUCUCUCACAACUCUCUCAUCGUUUUAAUUUAUUCAUAAUUUGAAUCAAAUAUUAACUCUUGAUCAAACCCCAAAUUAAAAUAAACAAAAUAUUAGAUUAUCACACAAAAUCAAAACCAGUAUUAUCAAUAACAACAAAAAUUACCGCUCAUCCAUUAAAUUUAACAAAAACCAACAUUUAAAUUCAUCAAAUAUUGGUGGAGGUAGUGGAUUCAUGGUGAAGAAAAUAGAUGAUGGGAAUGAACUCGUUGUUGAUGAAGUGGUGGGGGUGAUAAUUAUAUACGAGGGAGGGGAAGGUAGAGACAGAAUAAAAAUAAUAUUUUUUUUGUUUCAAUAAAGAUAAUUCUACAAAAUAAUAAGAUUAAUUGAUAAGCGGGGUUGAUGAGAUAAUUUGAGGGGUUCAAAUAUCAUUACUCAUAUCCGUUUACAUGAAGCUAAUUAAAAAUAGUGAAGUAAUUAAAUACGCUAAUCAUACACAGCUGCAAUGUAUUAAAACAGCCUAAUGAGCUUAGCCUCAAAUUGACCCUCACCGUUGAUCUGCCAUUCCUAUCGUCACUACUUGCCACCUCGCAUUGUAUCAAUAUCUCUUCGUAACACAUAAACAGAAUCAAUUCUUGUACCAAAUUACCAAAUUACCACAAAACUGUUAGAGAGUCGGUGUGAUUUACUCACUGUUAAAUAAUAAAGAGAGUAAAUUUUAUUUUUAUUUUUUUUAAAUUUGAAUCUACCCGCCACUUCCAAAACAGAGAAAGCGUCGUCGUUUUACGAUGGCUCCAUCAUCAUUUCCAUCUCCUCUCGAACGCACUGUCGCUUCAGCUCUUCUCCUUCUCUCCGUCUCCGACAAACCUCCCUCUCUCACUUCUCCACUGUAAGAUCUUCAUUAUUUCACUCUUAAAACUGUUUUUGUUUCUUAUUUGUUUUUCCUUAUUGAUUUGUUUGAUGUUUGUUUAAUGCUGCUGAAGAGCAAGAGCAGCAGCCGGGACGAAGAGAGCGUGAGCUUACUGUCGAGUGGAGAUUCAAAACGGUGCGUUUCAACGGUUACUAGUGAAUAUGCCUCCUCCAGUGAGAUCCGAGCUCAUAAGCUGAGGAUCAUCGCUGUUGUGGCUCGCUGUCAUGAAGUGAAACUCAAGGUACAUAUUCUUCUGUUUGGUUUAAUAUAUAUGAUUAUGUAAAUGGUUUCGUAGUUCUUAGUUUGAAUUUGAUCUGAAGUUGUUUGUUUGAUAAUAAAAUGAAAUCACAUCUCUGUUUUCUACUUCGUAAACAGUCAUCUCUUCGGAAUCAAUUUUUUGUGUUGUUCAUGUUGAAUUUUAUCAAAAGUGAUCAUUAAAACUUGUUUUUCUCAAAUUUAUGUUUGAUCUCUCAGUUUUUUUUUUCUCGACUCUUCAAUUCAAUUUCACUGGAAAUUUACUAGAAGAUUCAAAUUCUGUUCUGCUUGGACCUGUUUCGUUUUGAAUUCUCGUAAUCAUUUGAAGGCUCAAGCAACUUAAAUUUUGUUAAAACAUUUUAAUUAGCUUCGAUAAAUUUGUAAUUCACUUGCUCAUAGAUGUGAUCUCUCCGUUUCACCUCAAUUUUGCGCAUUGUUUGCUCAUAAUCUUUGUUUUUAACUUGAUUUUAAAAAAUGAUUUUAAGAUUUUAUUUUCAAUUUUUAGCUCUUUCAUCCUGUUAUCAUUUAUUUUUCUAUAAUUAAUUUCAUUUCUCUUAGUCUGAAUAUGAAUUUAAAUUGUUUUCUUUUAGUUCUGUUCUGAGACUUUGCAAUUGGUAAAUAUUAAGAGUGGCAGCAAUUAAAGUUGAUUAAUAUGCUAGUAUAAUAUUAGUAUUGACAUUAGGCAGAGACGGAGACUUUAGUGAAUAUUAUUGCUAUAUGAGUAAUUUUUGUAUAUGAGCGUGGCGUAGGCCUACGUAGUUAAUUACAAUUUCCAAAUCUCUGCGGGUUACUGAAAAUUUAAGUGCCUUGCAUAUGACUAUUAACCCAGUUUUUCAUGCUCGCUCGAAGCAUAUUGAAUUAGAUUAUCACUUCAUUCGAGAAAAGGUUGCUGAUGGUGCCUUGGUUACGAAGUUUGUCCCUUCUUCGUUACAAAUUGCAGAUGUUUUUACUAGGGCUUUGUCAAAAGCCAUGUUCCGCAAUUUCAGAUACAAGCUUGGCGUUCAUCAAAUGUCACUUGCCAGCUUGAGGGGGUAUGUUAAGCAAGCUGACCAAGAUUACCAAAAGGAAAGUCAUCAACGGUCAAGUCAACAACGGGUUUAUCACUCCACACAACUUGCUCACGUCAAAGCUAUUUGUCAAGGAAUAUCUCCAGCACGAUUUUUGCACUUGAAUGCCAAUAUCAUGUAGGAAUAUUUCAUUCCUAUUUUAUAAAGAUAUUGUGCAAUAGUUUAGGAAGUAUUCACUUAUUUUCCUUUAAUAUUAUUAAGCCUUUUAACGGCUACUUUGUCUUUAUUUUGUAUAAAUAAAUCUGUAAAUUUCAUUAAAAAUAUAGAACAAGAAUUAUACUCUUCAUAGAAUUUCUUUCACUAAAUUCAUCAGCCUCUUGAACCCUCUCCUGAGGGCGCCUUCUGUCCUCUGUUUUCUGUUACCAUACACUAAUAGACAAAAGCAUUCAGAAUGACAACUGGGACAUAUAUAAGAGUGAAAUAAUUGAAAAAUUAUGCUUUUUUGUUUGUCAUGUUAAAAUCGUAAAGUGCGUAAGUACUAUGAAAGAGAUUAGUUUACGGAAACUGAAGCCAAGGGUUAAAAAAAAAAAGGUGCAAAGAGAAUAAAGGGCAACGCUUAUGUAAAGAGACAUAAUUGUAUUGGUAGCACAAUGUCACGUUCAUACAGGGAUCAAGCAUAUUAUUUACAGGUGGUAAGGGCUAAGAAUUGAUGUAGCUAGAAUACAAAGAUAAUAAGGUAUGUUGUGCACUAUUUAUUUAUUCUACAAUCAAUCUUGACCCUUGAUGCUUGGCUCUCAAUCUUGCCCAUUGAUCUUCUCUGAUCUCUAAAACUUCAAGACCUUUCAAUCUUAUGCCUUAUUAUUGGUGUCUUCCAUGCUGUAGAUUUCAAAUACAAGCUUUCCCGCCAACUUGCCAAGUAUUUGUCCAUUGGUGCAUUUUAUCAAACAGUUUGGAUACUUAUACCAAACGCCUUCUGUUUUAACUCCCCCUCUCAAGCUCAAGCAUCUGGGAAGACAUUAAUAAGCUUGUUUCUCAAGUAUAUGUAUCUGAAAAUUAAAUUUUAUAAAUUAUAUUCGGACUCUACAUUUUCUAAGGAACAUUGGUUUGGCUUAUAAGCUUAUUAUACUCAGGCUUGGUAGGAUUAUCGGUCGGUAGAUGACCGAGUGUUAGAGCUUUCGAAUUUAUGCCAAUUAAAAAAAAAAAAAAAAAGAAUCUACAUAAGUUUUCAACUGGGCUAUUACCACAAUAAACAUUUGGUAAUCAUCAAUUUCACUAUUAUUCGCUUUAUUAUGUUUGUUUCUUUCAGUAUGUUAAAAGAUUAUGUUGUGAAUUUGUUUUACAGGCCGCCCGUAAGUCUGCGCCCACCACCGGUGGUGUUAAGAAGCCUCAUCGUUACCGUCCUGGAACCGUCGCCCUUCGGUUCGUUCUCUAAUUUAAAUUUCCGUUGUAUAGCUUUAGUUGUGGGUAAUUUUGUAUAGAGAAAUUCGCAAGUACCAGAAGAGUACCGAGCUGCUUAUCAGGAAACUCCCAUUCCAGAGACUUGUUCGUGAAAUUGCUUAGGACUUCAAGGUACCUUGUUAUUGUUUUGGUUGUUAUCUUUGUUAUCUUUAAAUUGGGUUCCCAAGAUUUCUUGAUAGACGGUUAAUGGCUAUUUUGUUGCCUGUUUUGCAGACUGAUCUGCGUUUCCAGAGCCAUGCAGUGCUGGCCCUGCAGGAGGCAGCCGAGGCUUAGGGUAUUUCCAAUGUAGCACUAAACUUAACACCAAAUCACAUUUUACACCAUUUUUGGUGUAAAAUGCUUCUCCAAAUGUAACACCAAAAUGGUGUAAUGAAUAGCAUUGCACCAAAUAUGGUGCAACACUAUUCAUUUGCACCAUAUUUGGUGCUAGGAAAAAAAAUCUCAAAUAUUCUUAUUACUUUAUCUUAUUUAUAUAUAUGUCCUAUUUUAUAUAAUAUUUUAAGUUAUUAUUAUUAUUGUUAUUUUUUAAUUUUUGAAUAUUAUACUAAUAUUUUAAAUAAAAAAUAUUCAACACAAAAAUUUAUAAUAAAAAUAAAAUGCCAAUAACAUUAAUUACUAGAUUACAUAUUACAAAAUUAAAUUAACACAAAUUAAAAAAACUACUACUACUAGCAUAAAUUAGAACAAUUAUUUAGUAAUGUGGGAGAUCAUUAUUAGAUCCUCCAAUAUCAUCAAAAUAUUUUUCUAUAUUAAUGAAUGUUUAAUUUUCAUAAUGCACUUAUUAUUGUUAUUGUAUUUUUCUAUAUUAAUGUAAUGUUUAAUUUUUAUAAUGUACUAAUUUAGUUAAUUAAAUGCAAAUUUAAUAAUUUUCUAUAUUUUUUUUGUUAAUCGAUAUAAAAUUACUUAUUACUUAAUUAUCUAUAUUAAUAGUAAUAUUUAUUGUGUUAAUUGAAUUAAUUCUUGAGAAUUAAAAGAAUAAAAAGAAGAAUAUUCUUUUUGGUGUAAAUGGGUUGGAGAUGAAAUAAUAAUUUAAAGUGAAAAAUGUGUAUUUUUUGUGUUGGUGUUAUACUAAAAUGGUGUUAUGCAUUGGAGAUGGCCUUACCUCGUCGGUCUCUUUGAGGACACUAACCUCUGCGCCAUUCACGCAAAGCGUGUCACUAUUAUGCCCAAGGACAUACAGCUUGCCCAUAGGAUCCGUGGCGAGCGUGCUUAAGCGCAAUUAGAGCUGGCAAAAUGGGUCAUCGGGUCGUGUUCGUGUCGUGUCAAAUUUAGGUCGACCCAAACCCGACCCAUUUAAUAAUCGUGUCAAAAUAUUGAGACCCAACCCCGACACGGAAAAAUAAUCGGGUUACCCAAUAACCCGUUUAAUAUCUAUAUAUUAAAUAAAAGUUACAUCAAAUAUUUACACACUAUCAUACAUACAUAUGUACAUAAAUACAUACAUACAUAAUUUAUCGAUAUUAUAAAAUAUACAUAUCUACCAAUAUAUUAUACAUUUACACUAUUGAGGUUUUAAUUAUAUAUAUAUAAAAUAUUAUAUAUCAAUAUUAUAAAAUAUACAUGUCUAUUAAUUUUUACACAUUUACACUAUUGAAGCUUUAAAUGUAUGUAAAAUUUUAUAAAUAAAACACUGUUUAUAUUCACCAUUUUAAAGAAUAAAAAAAAAGAACAUCUCUAAUAUUUGAGUUUUAAUUAUAACAAUAUGUAAAUUAUUUUAAAAUAGAAAAUAUAAUCGGGUCAUUGAUCGGGUAAAUGGGUCAAGAAUUUUAACCCAAACCUGACACGGAAAAAAAUCGUGUUGACCCGGACCCGACCCAUUUAAUAAUCGUGUUAAAUUUGACGACCCAUACCCAUUUAUUUAUGUCGUGUUCGUAUCGGGUAAUCGGGUCGUGUCAAAUUUUACCAGCUCUAAGCGCAAUUGCCGCUUGCUUCAAUUGAAUGACUGGAAAGGGAAGGGGGAAGUUGUAAUGUGUUAAUUUGUAUGUGGGGUUGGUGGGGACGGCGUCGCUUUUUCUUAGACCUUUUUUUUUCUUUUUCCUCCCUUAAAAACAGUGAAAUUACUUAUACUGGUUUUUCUAUUUUACAUUUUGAAUAUUAUUAAUUAAUAUAAUUUAAGAUAACAAUCAGGGAUAAAACAAUCAUUUUUUAUUCAAGAUCAUUUUAUCAAUAUUCUGUUAAAUAUUCUCACAAUUUAACUUUAUCCUUAACAAAAAUUUAACUUUUUUUUUUUAAAACUAACGGAACCAAAUCCUAUAUAUAAAUGUAUAGUAUGCAUUAAUAAAUAAAUAAAACUUUGACGACCGGAGGGAAUGAAUAAAUAAAUAGAUAAAACUUUCGAAGCUCGUGAAUGUGCUAUUUUUGUUUUUUUUAGUAAUUGUUUAAUUGAAAAAAGAAAGCUUCGGGAUUUAUUUUUGACGGGACGGCUGAGAUUUGUUGACCUUCUAGAGAAUGAGAACAGAUUUUCAAUUUGUUGAUAAGUAUUCCUACAGUCCAGCCCAAAAGUACCGGCUCAAUGAGUUCGGUCAUGUUUGGUAACAGGUAUCCAUCACUUUCAAAAUCCGGUCCUACCAACGUAUCGGCUUUCACUGGCUGUCGUAUCAUCCGUGAAAGCAUGGGAGAGUGAGGCUACUCCAAUCUCUACUAGAGAAAUUUUAGAAUAUAUCUGUUGUAUUAUAAUUAAUUGAUGCAUGUAUGAUAUGUGUAAUUGAGUUUAAUACAAUCACCAUUUGUAUAAUAAUUUACAAAAUAAAUGCACACAUAUCAUGACAUUAUUUACUUAUUGUACGAAUAAUAAAUGCACACAUGUCAUCAUUCUUUGGUAAACAAAUUCACAAUAUAUAUUAAUCUUUGUGGAAGUUAUGUCCAAAAAAUAAAUAUUGUAAAAAAAUUUUAAUUACUAAUUUGUUGGACAUUAAUAAAAAAAUUUAAUAUAUUAACUCCUCAUGGAGUAUUAAAAACAAUUAAUAUAAAUUUUUUUGUUUCUAAUUUACUUUUUCAGUUUAAAUUGAUAAUUUAAUUUUUCUUUUUAUUAAUGUCUAAUAAAAAAGAAAUAUUAUUGUACGAGUGUAAUAUUGUAAAAACAAGUCAAAAAGAACAAAAAGUAACAAUAAGGGUGUCAAUAUUUAAUGACAAUGAUAUUUUGAGAUAUUUUUUAAAAUAUAGGGAUUAAAUAUGUAUUAAUCUCAAAAUAUAGGGAUUAAACGAGAUUUUACCAUUAUUAAUUGUAGUCAUCUUUUUAUAAAUUACAAUUGGAGGAAGUUGGUUAAUGUUGUUGACACGCACGCACACACGCACACACGCACACAUAAAGAUUUAUUGGAAGUGCUUAUGCCGACUCGAAGUUGUGGGAAUUAAUGCAUGUAUUGAUUUAUUGGGAGUGUUUAAAUGAUUUUGUGAUUUACUUGAUUGAUUGAAUAUUGUUUGAUUGCUUCAUAUCCAUUCUACAAAGUUUAUUUCUUUGUGAAAUUUCAACGACAUAUUUUUUUUAAAAAAAAAUAAUAAGGGUGUUAUAAAUAAUUUUAAAAAAUAUAUGGACUAAUUAGAACUAAUUACUAGGUAAUUAACUUGAUCUGUACAGGGUGAAACAACAUUUAUCCUAAUUGUAUCAUGACAAAUACUUUUCCGAUUAGAAUUAGGAAACCAUAGGUUUAUUGAAUUUUUUUUUUCCUCUGGAGAAACGGAUUAGAGAAUUAGAAAGCAAUCCUAAUGAUAUAAUUAUCAGGUUUAAAACAGUGCAUAAACAGUGAAAAGCUAAUUAGUCUGUAGAGUAAUUUGCUAAUUGUUACCUCCUCUCUAUGCGCGCUGAAUAAUUUGUUGCAUGCAAACUUUUUAUUUUAUACAAAUCAUACGUACUGUAACAUUGGAAUUGAUGUAUAAGCAAAAAUACAAGAAUAUUUAUGUCAAUAAAAAUAGUUUUUUCGUUCCUUUUUAAAUAAACACAACGCGAUGUUGCUCUGCUCUACAUUUUUGCUAUCAUUUUAUUCUUUUUUUUUUUUUUUGUGGGCUUCUUAAAGCCUCAAACUUUGAUAACCAAAACUUCAUCGACCUAUGAAAAAAUCUGCAGAUUAGUUUUCAUUAUCGGAAUAAUUGUUUGAGAAUACGAAAACAAAAUAUAAAAUAAGAAAAUAGGGGGUUAAAUUUGGGGAAAACAAAAAAAACCAAUUGGGAAUUUUUUUUCUUUAAUUUUUGUUUUACUUGAUUGAGAUUUCUCCUUAGUCCUUACAGUUUUAAGUUUGGAUGCCGUAGGGUUAGUAAUUUAGUACUUCCUUUGCAAGCUGAGUGCGAGAACGAAAAUCUUUAAAGAAAUUAAAAAAGAGUAAAAAAAAGCAUACCAAUAGGUAAUUAUAAAUAACCAUAAAUAAACAUAAACAAAAUGUUUAUGAAGUAAAUUACAAAUGCACAUAUUAUUUUUUUGUUUUAUUUCUUACUUGUCUAUUUUAUUUGCUGCUUGAUAACCCGUAAAUACUAAUCUAGUACUGCUAAUUUCAGACACAAAAUGUUUAACUCUAGGCUGUAGUUUUACUCAAAAUGAUGACCACUGGCUUCGCACCAUUUAACCAGCAUACAUUUCUACAAAUUGAACAAGGCUAUUGAUUUUCAUUAUUAUUUUUUAUUUAUUUAUAAAUUACUAUUUUAAUUUUCACUUUUUAUUGGGUUGUUUAACGGAUUAGUGAAGUUGGUGGUCGUGAUGCACUCACAAGGUACAAUUUUAUUUUAUAAUUUCAAAUUUGUAUUUUAAAAUGCAGGUACAUUAUGUAUACAUAAUUAUUGAUUUUCGUAUGUGGGUGUUUUGAAAUAUUGCUAAAAGACCAAACUUUAAUAAACUAUUUUUCAUCUUUUUUUUUUCCUUUUUUCCUAGAGUUUGAGUGAUAUCCUCAUUUUAAAUUCAUGUGGAACAAAAGCUAAUGUAUGCACAAAAUUCUUUUAUUUUUUCCUAGAAAAAUGGGUAAGAGAAGAAGAUUUUUCUCUUGAAAAAGAAAAACUAAUACGAUGCAAGCAUAGGAAAGAGGUCAGUGUUUUGGAUUAGAAUUUAGUAUUGAGCUGAAUUUUAUACUAAACUCUUUUAUGGUACUGCGAUUAAUAAACUCAUGAUUUGCUUUUGCUUUUACUUCAAGUGAAAGAAAGAGGAAACCUUUUGUUUUUUGUUUGAUUCUUGACUAUAAAAAGAUUAACCAGCGCACACAAUCUUACUGUAGUCCAGACCAUCCAGCUGUGAUGACUCUAGUUUUUUGGUUACAUUAGCUUUAGUGGAAAGGAGGGCCAAUUUAACAAAGACUAUAUUUGGUGGCUUACUAUAAUGCUUAUUCUCAGGGAAUCUAAUGUUAUAAGAUGAUUUAAUGAUCUUCUAUGAUUGUGAGUAGUAUAGUAUAAUUGAAAAGAGCCUGGGCUCCUAUGAUGAAUAUAUAAUAGUAACACAGUACUGUGAUUGAAAAAAACAAAGUUACAAUAAACUCUUCAUUUAUUCAUUGUGGAGAUUGAAUGGCAAACAGAGAAUAAAAUGAAGCAGAGGAAUCUCAUUGCCAGUAAAAUUGACCCUCUUUAAUGUUAUAUGGCACAGGUGUGUGUACAGCAAGAGCAAGUUACUUGCAGUUUUUAUUGUAAAAUAUACAGGUUAUGACCAUGAUCAUUGUAAGGUUUUGAUGAUUUUAGAUGCUUUUUUAUUUUUUUAAAUUGUGACACCUUUGAUUUAUGGUAGUUUUGCAGAAGAAAAAAAUAUAUAUAAAAAUUAGGAGGGAUGAGUUAACUAACGAUUGCAAUAAUAUUUUUAUGGAAAUUCUUGGUUUUUAUGGAAAUACUCUUGCUGAAAUUCUAAUUUUGACUUUCAACUCUUGGUUUUUAUGGAAAGUAAAAUGACUUAUUUGUUAUAUUCAUACAAUCCACUCUACAUAAUGAUUUCAUUUUAAUAAAUGCUUGAUGAUCUCCACUGAAAAACUACUUCAAUUCUUUUGUUUUAUUUAACUUUUUGGUUGUUGAAAAUAGCCUUAAUUUUCAAAUAAUUGGAGAAAGAGUAAAGAACGUUUAACAAAUUUAUGUGCCAAAAAUAAAGGAGAAAUUGAAGAGAAAGGGUGCUUGCAGAAGUGGGUGCAAAGAUAAAUCAGUCCGUAAGAAUUAUUGUGGUUAUUAAGUUUUUGGCAAUAUAAAAAUUUUUCAGCAAAUAAAAAUUGAUUUUUUCCGAUUUACUAAAAAAUUAAUUAAAAACUUCGGUGAUAGCAUUUUUUAUGGGUGCAUGUACACUCCCUUUAAAAAAAAUAUAAUAAUUAAUACUUAAUAUAGUAUUAAAUACGAAAAUAUCAAUAUUUGACUACACAAAUUUAUAUCAUUAGGUCCUUAAAAUUUAAAAUUGAAGACAAAAAAUGAAAUAUAUAUAAAUUUCAUUCUCACAGGAAAGGAUCCUCUUAUAAUCUUAAAAUAUUUGAGCUUUGAAAGAUUUUUUAAAAUAAAUGUACUUUUAUUUUUGUACAAUCAAUAUUUACUUAUUUAUUAUAUUUUUAUUCAUUAACUAUCAAUCAUGUGAGUAUAUUUACUCAGAAAUAUCAUAUCAAGGAAGAAUCUUGAUCCCACGCACACACAAAUAUGUUAAUUUCUAUACGCUUCACUUACCUGUAGAAUCAAUUAUCUAAAAUGCAAGUUUGUGGCCACAAAAAAAGCCAAAGAAAGAAGAUAAUAACAAUUGACUUGUAUAUUAUACUCAUACAAUCCACUCGACAUAAUGAUAUCAUUUUAAUAAGGCAAUGGCUGAUGAUCUCCAUUGAAAAACUAAUUCAAUUUUUUUGCUUCAUUUAACUUUUUGGUUGUUGAAAAUAACCUUAAUUAUCAAAUAAUUGGAGAAAGAGUAAAGAACAUUUAACAAAUUUAUGUGCAAAAAAAAAAAGGAGAAGUUGAAGAGAAAGGGUGCUUGCAGAAGUGGGUGUCAAAGAAAAAUCUGUCCAUAAGAAUUAUUGCGGUUAUUUUUUGGCAAUAUAAAAUUUUAUAGCAAGUAAAAAUUAAUUUUUUUCCGAUUUACUUAAAAAUUAACUAAAAACUUCUCCGACAGCAUUUUUAUGGGUGCAUAUACCCACCCUUUAAAAAAUAAUAAUAAUUAAUGCUUAAUAUAGUAUUAAAUAUGAAAAUAUCAAUAUUUGACUACUCAAAUUUAUAUCAUUAGGUCCUUAAAAUUUAAAAUUGAAGAUACGAAAGGAAAUAUAUAUAAAUUUCAUUCUCAUGGAAAGGAUUCUCUUAUAAUCUUAUAAUAUUUGAGUUUUGAAAUUUUUUUGAAACAAAUGUAAUUUUAUUUGUGUACAAUCAAUAUUUACUUAUUUAUUAUAUUUUAAUUUAUUAACUAUCAAUCAUGUAAGUAUAUUUAGUCAGAAAAAUUAUAUCAAGAGAGAAUCCUAAUUUCACGCAAACACAAAUACAAGACAAAUAUGUCAAUUUCUAUACUAUUCACUUUCCUGUAGAAUCAAUUAUCUAAAAUGCAAGUUUGUGGCUAUAGAAAACUCGCCAAAGAAAGAAGAUAAUAACAAUUAUGGGAAAUGAGUUAUUGUGUGGUUUACCAAAUCUUCAAGUCCAACCAUGCAAAGUUAGCAAGCCGAGGACAGAACAUAAAUCAAGGAAAAAGAUACUUCUCAUUGUGAUUGUUUUGCCAUUGAGUAUUGCUCUAACGAUAGCAAUCACUCUAGCUCUCAAAUAUAAGCUGAACGAAUGUGGAAAAAGAAGCACAGUGUUAUCAAAUGAUUGUAUCUUGUCAUCACAGGCAACACUAAGAAGGUUUUCAUACUUAGAACUUUUACAAGCAACAGAUAAUUUUACUGAAAACAACAUAAUUGGCAGAGGAGGUUUUGGUUCCGUUUAUGGAGCAAGACUUGAAGAUGGGAUGAAGAUUGCAAUAAAAGUGUUUCACCAGCAAUGUGCAAGCGCAUUGAAGAGUUUUGAGGCUGAAUGUGAAGUGUGAAAAAAUAUUCGCCAUCGAAACCUGAUCAAAGUUAUCAGCAGUUGCUCGAACGAUGAUUUCAAAGCAUUAGUCCUAGAAUACAUGUCCAACGGGAGCUUGGGGGAUUGGCUGCAUUCUAGCAAUUACGUGCUGAAUAUAUUUCAGAGGUUGAACAUAAUGAUUGACGUUGCAUCAGCUUUAGAAUAUCUCCACUUCGAUCAUUUACCUCCUAUUAUUCAUUGUGACUUAAAACCUAGUAAUGUAUUGUUGGAUGAAAAUAUGGUUGCUCAUUUGAGUGAUUUUGGCAUAGCAAAGCUUUUAAGUGGAGAAGAUGAGUCUACGAUGCGAACAAAAACCCUUGCCACUAUAGGUUAUAUGGCACCAGGUUUGCUUUAAACAACUUUUUUUUUAGUUCAUUUUAAAUUUUGCAACUUAUUGAUUUUUACGAUCCUCACAUCAAAAUUUUAUUGAUUAUUUAUCUAAUUGUGAAAUUAAUUUGAUUUAUAGAGUACGGCAUAGAAGGAGAAGUAUCUACAAAAAGUGAUGUUUACAGCUAUGGGAUUAUGUUGAUGGAAACUUUUACCAAGAAAAAACCCACAGAUGAAAUUUUUGUCGGAGAAUUGAGCUUAAAGCGUUGGGUUAAUGACUUGCUUCCUACUUCAUUAGUGGAAGUUGUGGACAAAACUCUGCUAAGUGGAGAGGAAAAACAUUUUUCCGCAAAGGAGCAAUGUCUGUUGUCUAUCUUUAGUUUGGCUCUGGAGUGUACAAUAGAAUCACCGGAAAAGAGGAUUAAUGCAAAAGAUAUUGUUACCAGGUUACUCAAGAUAAGAGACACAUUGAGUAAAAGGAUCAGAAAUUUAAGUUAAUUUCGUUUGCUUUCAUUGAUAGUUAAUCUGAAUUCAUGUAAUAAGUGUAGGAAUCUUAUAUCUUUUCCUUUCAUAUAUUUUUUUUUCUUGAGAAAACUGUUGUAGUCAUCUUGUUUCCAUGGGCAGAGUUGAUUUACUUCUUCCAAGAAAUGCUACUGAUGACCUUUGUUUUAUGGCAAUCCCUAUCUUACGUGCAUGUAAGAUACAUCCCCUUCACAUGAAUAAUGUGUGAGUCCAAUCCCUAUCUUAUAUGCAUGUAAGAUACAUCCCCCUCACAUGAACAGUGCAUGUGUGGGACCCACACACUGUUCAUAUGAGGGAGAUGUAUCUUGCAUGCAUGUAAGAUAGAGGGAUCCUUGUUUUAUACUUUCUCUUUUUUUUGCAUGUGGUUAGGUAGAACAGUGGUUUGGCUGCAGGCUAAGAAGUCUAACUACACUAAAAGAAUAUGAUUUAAUUUAUUAAACAAAACUUCAAGUUCAAGAAAAGUAUUUCACUGCCCCCAAUGCUUUGGACACCUACUGGUAGGUUUGUACGUGUCCUCAACUUUUUUUUAGAGCACAAACUUCGAGUCCCAUGGAGAUUCAAACAUUCCUUUCUCGCAUCCCGAGCACUAAAUGUUUGGAAAUUGGUGGGUGAAGCAGAACCGCAGCUAAUAUGAAAUUGGAAGAAAAUAAAGAACAAGCACAAAAAGAGAAUACCAGAAUUACGUGGUUCGGCUUUUAGCCUACGUCCACGGGUGAAAACAGAAGGAAAUAUUUUACUAGUAAAAAGAAGUUACAAGUAUUGUAGUAUUUUAGCUCACUUCCCAAAAUCCCAAUGCACCCAAACUCUCAAAACACCAAAACAAGAGCUUAUAAUUUCAAGCUCUCUAAACUCUCUCUAAAUACAAGAAAACUCUUCUCAAAAUUGGAUAAGCAAAUGAGGGAAUGAGCCCCUCUAUUUAUAGACAAAAUCUUGGCUACAAUUCACUUUUUUUUUAAAAUUAUUUAUUAUUGUUCAAAAUUUCAACAUUCAAAGUUUGAUAUUCAAACUUUGAAUAUCUAGAAGUUUGAAUUUGAUAUUCAAAGUUCGAACAUCAAGACACCCAAUCUUGACAUUCUCCCACUUGGAGAUUUGAUUGAGAACCAAACAAUCUCCACACCAUUCUUUCUGCUUUGCCAUUGCCAUGUUGCUUACGUUUCUGCUAGGCCAUACGAGGAUCUAUUCCAGACAAACUUGUCAGUAUUGAUUGGCUUGGUCAAAACAUCUGCUAGGUUCUCCUUCGUAUGGAUUUUCUGUAAAUCCACACUUCCGUCUUCUACUACUUCUCGAACGAAGUGAUGUACUCCUAUGUGCUUUGUCCUGGAAUGAAAGGCUGGAUUCCUUACAAUGUGCAAGGCACUCUGACUGUCACAAAACACAGAAAUUUUCUCUUGUUUGUGCCCGAGCUCCUCCAAUAAUCUUUGUAUCCAAAUAGCUUCCUUGCAAGCUUGUGUAGCUGCCAUAUAUUCUGCUUCUGUUGUAGAUAAAGCCACAACAGUCUGUAGUUUCGAAACCCAGCUUACAGCUGCUCCCGCAAGUGUAAACACAUAACCAGUAGUGGAUUUCCUUUUAUCAAGGUCUCCUACAAAAUUUGAAUCCACAUAGCCCCUGACAGUAAACUCUGAUCCUCCAUAACAUAAUACAACAUCUGAGGUUCCUCUGAUGUAUCUCAGAAUCCUCUUCACAGCUAUCCAAUGCUCUCUACCAGGAUUCGCCAUGUAUCGACUGACUGCUCCCAUUGCUUAUGCAAUGUCUGGUCUAGUACAUAUCAUAGUGAACAUCAAACUUCCCACUGCUGAUGUAUACGGUACUCGAGACAUCUCCUUCCUCUCUGCUUCAUUGCUAGGACACAUACUUGAGGAUAAUUUGAAAUUAACAGGAAGUGGGGUAGAAAUUGACUUACAAUCUUGCAUGUUGAAGCGCCGCAAAAUUUUCUUCAAGUAAUUCCUCUGCGAAAGCCAAAUCUUCCUGUUAUUUCUGUCUCGGUGAAUUUGCAUCCCUAGAAUCUCGUUUGCUGGUCCCAAGUCCUUCAUUUCAAACUCCCUAGCCAACUGUGCCUUCAAUUCUUGGAUUCGAUCUUUGUUGAGACCUGCUACCAACAUGUCAUCCACAUACAACAGCAAAAUAAUGAAAUCAUUAUCUUCAAACCUCUUGUAAUAUGCACAAUGGUUUGAACUGAGUCUGUUGUAUCCAAGGCUCAUAAUGAAGGAAUCAAAUCUCUUAUACCAACACAUCGACGCCUGUUUGAGACCGUAUAGAGAUUUAUUCAACUUGCAAACCAAUUUCUCCUUUCCUGUUUCUGUAAAACUUUCUGGUUGGAGCAUAUAUAUUUCUUCUUCAAGUUCUCCAUGAAGAAAUGCAGUUUUCACAUCUAAUUGCUCUAGAUGUAAGUCAAAUGUAGCACACAUCACCAAGACUACUCUGAUUGUUGUGAGUCGAACCACCGGAGAAAAUAUCUCGUUGAAGUCAAUACCUUUUUUCUGAGCAUAUCCUUUCACCACCAAUCUCGCACGAUACUGCUCCACUUGGUUAUUGCCAUCACGUUUGAUCUUGUAGACCCAUUUGUUUCCAAUGGCUUUUCUUCCACGUGGUAGUGGUACAAGUUCUCAUGUCUUGUUCUUGUGUAGAGCUUCAAUUUCUUCCUGCAUUGCUGUCAUCCACAAAAUAACAUCUGAGCUGUUUAAAGCUUCAUGGAAAGUUGAAGGCUCUCCAUCUUCUGUUAGAAGAUAGUAUGCAACAUUGAUCUCUGUGACAUACUCCGAGUGCCACGUUGGCGGUCGUCUCUCACGAGUUGACCGACGAAUUUCUUGAGCCUCGGACUCGACUAGUUCUUGUUCCUCGUGCUCUGGUGCUGCUUCAGAAGAAUUUGAAUCUUCUGAAUUAUUUUUCACAUAUACCGGUACAGUUUCUGGCUUUUCUUUUACAGUGCUAUCAUCCUCAUCUUUCCUUUGCAAUUGAUCUUCUAUAAAAAUAACAUCUAUGCUGAUGACGAUCUUGUGGGCAGUAGGAUCCCACAGACGAUACCCUUUUACUCCAUCAGCAUAUCCCAAGAAGAUACAUCUUCUAGAUUUUGCAUCCAGUUUUGUUUUUUCUUGAGCAUUGUACAUCACGUACACAGGACAUCCAAAUGCAUGUAGGUAGGAAUAAUCAGCUGGCUUUCCAGUCCACAUCUUCAUCGCUGUCUUCAGCCCAAUUACUGUAGAUGGUGAUCGAUUUACUAUAUAACAGGCAGUUUUGGUUGCUUCUACCCAAAAUGAAUUGGGUAGACCAGCAGUCCUCAACAUAGCUCUUAUCCGUUCUGUAAGAGUUCUAUUCAUCCGCUCUGCCACUCUAUUUUGUUGAGAAGUAUAUGCCACCGUGAACUGUCUUUGAAUACCUUCUUGCUUACAAAAAGCAAAAAACUCGCUGUCUAUAUACUCUCUACCAUUAUCUGUCCUCAAGCACUUGAUCUUUUUACCAGAUUCAAGUUCUACUGCGUUUUGUAUUCUUUAAACACUGGAAAUACAUCUGACUUUUUCUUAAUUGGAUACACCCAACAUCUUCGGGAAUAAUUAUCAAUGAAAGUCACCAUGUACUUUGCACCUCCCAUGGAUAUAUCCGGUGAUUCCCAAAUAUCAGAAUGAAUCAAGUCUAUAAUGCAUUUACUUCUAGCAAUAGAUCUACUGAAUUUUAAUUUAUGCUGCUUACUUGUAACACAAUGCUCGCAAAAUGGUAAACUUACCGAUUUGAGCCCCGGAAGCAAUUUUCGCUCAGAGAGAAUCUUCAAUCCUUAUUCUAACAUGUGGCCAAGUUUGAGAUGCCACAUCAUCGUUGACUCUUCUCCAUUUGACGCGACACACGCAUCAGCCUCUUGUAGUGUUUCUCCUUUAAGCAUGAAUAAAUUAGCACCGAUCUUUUCUGCCUUCAUCAAUACAAACGCACCUUUAACGAUCUUCAUAAUUUCAUUCUCCACAUGAGUUUUGUACCCAUGACUAUCCAUUUGUCCCAAAGACAAAAGAUUUUUCUUCAGGCCGUUGACAUGUCGUACCUCCCUAAUUGUGCGAAUUGUACCAUCAAAUAUUUUUAUUUUGAUAGUACCAAUACCAGCGAUCUCCAAGGCAUGAUCAUUACCCAUAUAUACAGAUCCUCCUGAGAUAGGUUCAUAUGUGUGGAACCAUUCUCUCCGAGAGGUCAUGUGCCAGGUAGCUCCUGAGUCUAUAAGCCAGACAUCAGAUAGUCGUUUUCUGCCUUCUGAAACAGUUGUUGUUUCGCUGUAGAGAAUUUCGCCAUCAUCCGAGGUACUUACGACACAACUCUGAGCAUUUGAUGACUCAAGUUCUUUGCCCUCUCUUCUCUUCUGGUUACUCCAACACUCUUUCUUGACGUGCCCUUUCUUGCCACAAUUGUAGCAUUUAACAUUCUUCUUACUUCUAGAUUUUGAUCUACCAUGAUUUUGACUCCCAUUGGGGCCACGUUCCGUUGAUCUCCCUCUCGUCACCGAUAGCGCCUCCGCUUGCUGUGAACUUGCUUGUCUGUUUUCCUUAUUUUUCCGCCUGCUUUCCUCAUUUAAUACGAAGGCUGCAACAUCGUCGAAAACUAGACUGUCCACUGGAUUGUUGUUCGUUAAGUUGAUGAUGAGUUGAUCAUACUAAUCUGGUAGACUUUAAAGUAGAAGCUCUGCACGUUCAUUCUCCUCUAUAUUAUGACCCAACGUUGUAAGUUGUGAAAAUAGAGUCUUCAAUGUGUUGAUGUGGUCGGUCACCAUUAUAGAUUCCGCCAUUUGAAGAGUAUAGAGUUUCCUCUUCAAGAAGAUUUUGUUGUGUAGUGACUUGACCUCGUACAAUUUUGUGAGAGUAUCCCAAAUUUCCUUCGCUGUAUUUUUCUUUGCCACACUGGAUAAUACUCCGUCUGCAAGUGCCAAGUGUAGAUCAGAAAUAGCGUUGCCAUCUAUCUCGUUCCACUUGUCAUCAAUUAUCUCCAUGGGCCUUUCUCCAAUUGCUGCCAAGUAAUUAUUUUUCCUCAAUACAGCUUUCAUCUUCAUUUUCCACAACGAAAAAUUAUUUCCGUUAAAUUUCUCAAUUUCAUACUUUGCUGCCAUUUUGUUGAUAACUAUUGUACACAAACUAGUGUAUCACAUUGAAUAGUUGUGAGUAUGUGUAAAAAUGCACACCAGGAAAGUUUCCAGGAAAGACUGGAGGGGUCACAAUGGUCCCACUUAAAACUCAGACUCCUUAAGCUCUUAUCACCUUUGUGACAGAACUUUCCUAGACAUGUACAAAACCACACAGUUGCUUUACUCACACCACUAUUCCCUGCUUUGCACCGCCAAAUUCUUGGAUCGCUCCUACCGUUUUACGUGAAUAGUACUGUAUACGUGAACAGUACCGUAUACGUGAAUAGUACCCCUUACGUGAACAGUACCCGACUCUAAAAAAUAUAACAAAUAGCUCUGAUACCACUGUUAGGAAAUUGGUGGGUGAAGCAGGACCGCAGCUAAUAUGAAAUUGGAAGAAAAUAAAGAACAAGCACAAAAAGAGGAUACCAGAAAUUACGUGGUUCGGCUUUUAACCUACGUCCACGGGCAAAAAUAGAAGGAAAUAUUUUACUCAUAAAAGGAAGUUACAAGUAUUGUAGUAUUUUAGCUCACUUUCCAAAAUCCCAAUAUACCCAAACUCUCAAAACACUAAAACAAGAGCUUAUAAUUUCAAGCUCUCUAAACUCUCUCUAAAUACAAGAAAACUCUUCUCAAAAUUGGAUAACCAAAUGAGGGAAUGAGCCCCUCUAUUUAUAGCCAAAAUCUUGGCUACUAUUCACUUUUUUUUAAAAAUUAUUUAUUAUUGUUCAAAAUUUCAACAUUCAAAGUUUGAUAUUCAAAGUUUGAAUAUCUAGAAGUUUGAAUUUGAUAUUCAAAGUUUGAAUAUCAAGACACCCAAUCUUAACACUAAAUUCAUCAGACUGACAACUGGGACAUAUAGAAGAGCGAAAUAACUGGGACAUAUACAAGAGUGAAAUGUUUAGAGCACGCUAAGUUCGAGUGAAAGAGAUUAAUUUACGGAAACUAAACCCAAGAGAAUAAAGGACAACACUUAUGUGAAGCGACAUAAUUGUAUUGAUAGCACAAUGUCAAAUUCAUACAGAGAUCUAGUAUACUAUUUACAGCCGGUAAGGGCUAAGAAUUGAUGUAGCUAGAAUACAAAGACGAUAAGGUAUGUUGUGCACUAUUGUUUUAUUCUACGAUCAAUCUUGACCCUUGAUGCUUGGCUCUCAAUCUUGUCCAUUGAUCUUCUUUGAUUUUGGACACUUCAAGACCUUUCAGUAUCAUUCCUUGUUGUUGGUGUCUUCCGUGCUGUAGAAUUCAUAUACAAGCCUUCCCGCCGACUUGCCAAGUAUUCGUUCAUUGAUGCAUUUUUAUCAAACAGCUGGGCUACUUAUGCCAAACACCGCCUGGUUUAACUCCCCCUCUCUAGCUCAACUAUCUGGGAAGACAAUUAAUUGAGAUAUGAAUCAGAAAAUUAAAUUUUAAAAAUUGUAUUCGGACUCUACAUUUUGUAAUGAACAUUGGUUUGACUUGUUAUACAUUUAUGCGUACAUAAUUAAUAACCGAUUCUCAAGUGCGGACAUUCAAGAGCACUGCUUAAAGACCAAAUAUUUUGAUUUACUAUUUUUUGUCUUUCAAUUUUCUUUUAAGUUCUGAUGACGUCCGCAUUUUAAAAUCAUGUGGAACAAAGGCCUGAGGUGCAUAUAAAAUUCUUUUAUUUUUCAGAGGAAAAUGGGUGAGAGAAGAAGAUUUGGCAAAAGAAUUGCAACGGCAUUUGAAACUAGUCUUCGUCUUUUAAUUCUUUUAUAUUUGUUUUUGUUAUUGAUGUUAGCUUGGAUGUGUGCGCGUGUGACUGAAUUCAACUUCUAUUUGUUUUUGUUAUUGUUAUUAAUUUUAUUUGUUUUUGUUAAAUUGGAUCACAAAAAAGGGUGGUCCAUUAUCAAAUCAACACGGUUUAAUUAUUAUUAUUUCUAUGCUUUUUUUAUGAACAAAUAUAAAAUAAAAGGACAUAUACACCCCAAAUUUUAGUGCAAUAGUCAUCAGCAUCCCUAAAUUUUUAAAAAAAGACAUCAAGAUCAUUUUUUGAUCUUAAUACUCUUAUACGGUACCUCUAUUAUUCCUAAAAAUUGACUCUAAUGUUUUAUAAUAAAUAAAAAUAAAAAAUUAAAAUAAAUGUAAUAACAUAUAAUUUUAAAAUAAUUUCAAUAUUUAAAAAAUAUUUUUAACAUUUUACAAUCUAUUAAAUAUAUUUUAUUAUAUUAAAGUAAAUUUUAUAAUAAAUAGAAUCAUAUUAUUAAGAUAAAUGCAUUAAAAUUUAAAUUAUUUUGAAUAUCAUGUAAGAUAAUAAUUUUAACAUUACUAGUAUGUCAGAAUUUUUUUUUUUAGUUGUAGAAUGUAUUUAGUGCAAAUAUUUAUUUCAAAUCUCUACAAUAAAUAAAAGAUUAAAAUAAAUAUAAUAAUUUACAUAUCUAAAUUUAUUAAAAUAUUUUAAUAUUGUUAGUCUACCGCAUAGAUCACAAUAUUUAUAUAACAUUUGUAUUUAUUAAAAACUUUAAAAUCAAUUCUUUUGAAAAUAAUAGAGGUAAAGGGUAUAAUGGUCAAAAGGGGGACUUUGUACCCCUUUCUGAAAAUUUGAGAGUGUUGGUGAUCAUUUCUCCAAACCUUCAGGGUGUAGAUGUCCUUUUCCCAUAAAUAUAUGAGAAAAUUGUCAUACAAUAUCUGAAUUCUGAAGUAACAAGAAUCACCUUUAUGAAAUCAUAUUGCUUUCCAUGAUAGACUGUUACCAUUUUUCUAUAAUAGAUUGAAUUUAGUAAAAAAAUUGAUUAAGAUGUCUACUCAUGGAGAGUGAAAUUUAUGUUCAAAACUAAUUUCACAUUAAGUAUAUAAAUGUGUGUGUGUGUGUGUGAUUUAAUUCAUUAAGCACGUGUAACUUUAAGUUGAAGACAUGCAUUCAUCCCCUCGCCAAUGAUUCAGAAAAUAAUGCAAAAAGAAUGAAGUACAAAAUUUAUACAUAUAAAGCGACAUAAUUUUAUUGAUAUCAUAAUAUCAUACUGAAAUUGGAACUGAGAAGAGGCUCUAUUAAUUAAGUAUAUUAAAUAUCAAUUAAAAAUACAAAAUGACAAAAGAAUAGCUGCUGGUCUAGAGGUGGCUUACUACAUUCAUACAAGAUCGUUUCUUGUUCUCUAAGAUGUGGAUUAUACUAAUAAUGCUAUGCAAACUUAUCCAAAGGUCUAUUAAUUAAUUCAUUAAUCCGACGGCUCGUUAGGUUGUCCUUUCAUCCAUACAGCUGCAUGCUUGUCUUCUUAUAUGCUGAUCUUAUCCUCUAGAUCUGUUCAGGCUGAGUGAUCUCGAUCUUAUCCUCUAGAUCUUAUGCGAUCACGACCUGUUGCUUGGUGAUGUCGAAUGCCUGGCCUUUACUUCUCUGAGCCAAUUGAUCAAACAAUUUGUUCAUUUUAUCGAACACCUUCACCAACAAACAUUUGAUUUACUUUUGAUGGCUUUUAAGUGCAUUUGAUGAUUAUUUUUGCUCCAACUUCAGAUAAACCAAACGCUAGUAUAUUAGAAGAAGAAAUUAACUGGCAGCUAACCAGGCCAAAGUAGCGACUCUAUAUAAAAAAUAUAUAUAUAAAAUAAAAAAUAAAAAAUGGGACUUUAUUUAAUUAAUUGUUGGUCUAAAGCUGUUGGUAUCCGUUGGCCACGUUUCUGAAGAGUCAUCUCAAAUCGAAAUUUUUAACGAACAAAGAACUUUGCUUUUUUCCAUUGUUCACAUUGCUGCUGGCUGCCGCCCGUGAGAUAAAAGUGCUACAAUCCAAAAUGUUCCACCAUCAUUUAUUCUAAUUUUAAUUUUCCAAUGGAAAAAAUUACAUAAUUAAAAUGGCUUCUAAUAUCAUUUCCACACCUCAAUAUGUGUCACUAUCAGAAGGUUGUUUUCGUGAUUCAUGGUAAAUUUGGAUUACAGCACCUGUACUUUCUGAUGGUUCAUUAUUUAUUCUCAGGAAUCGAGUCUCCUUACAUUCACUACAACAAAUAGUUAUAUUACCGACCAUAUAUUUUUAAGGGUACCAUUUACUCUUGAUAAUAAGUACGUUUUACAAAGGUAUUACACUGUCGUCGGAUAAACGUAGAAACUAGUAACUAUUUUUCCAAGGGUAAUUUGCCCCUCGAUGGUAAUGAAUAUUUUGUCGGAAAAGUCGAAAUUACACUGAUUUUUUUAAAUGAAUUGUUUUUUAUUUUGAAAUAAUAAUCAAUAAAGAAAACCCAAAAAAAUUACUUCAGCAAACUAACUAAAGACAGCGACUACUAUUUGAAACCAUUGCCUAUUUCAAAUAUAUAAUAUUUAAGAAAAAAACUCGGUUACAAAUAAAAUCACAAAUCAAUGAAGUUUACUCAAUUCACCGGAAAAAAAAAACCCUAGAAAUUCUAUCACAAUUCCCGCCGUCAGCAACGAUCUCUCAUUCACACCGGCACCAACCUCUCAUUCAUGGGGGAACCGAUCUCUCCUUCUGAUGUCAGUAUGUCAAAAUUCCUUUUAUUCGAUUUGCAGAUACGGUCUGAAUCUUCUUAUUGAUUUUCAAUUUCAGCUUAAAAUUAGUCGAGGCAUCUUCAAUUUGCCGGCAAUUUCAGCCACGAUGAUGAUGAUUAAACCACAACCUGUGGGCUACGGCGACCAAGACGUCAAGCUUAAGGCUCAACGAUCGAUUAAAGAACCAAAUCAUCGGUAGCUAGACGAAGAAGCUCUCGUUCCUCAAGGUUGAUGUCGUUCUUGCCGUUUGCAGAAGCCGUAUCGGCCGAUAUUACAGCCUAGCAGGUUCACAUGUGGCUUCAAAGCCGUCUAAGCCAUGCUAGACGCCAGCCUAUUUCCUGAUUUGUCUCUGAUAUUUUCUCGUAGAGAUGAACAAGUGAAAUUUCAAAUCUAUUAUCUUUCUCUUUUGGUUUUAUUAUUGCAUAUUUUUUAAAUUUUUAAUCUUUUUAUUACUGAUUUGGGGAGCUUAGUGUUCAAUUUGUAUGAUCACAUAAGAGGAUCCUGUGAUAUUUAUUUAUCUGACAUUUACAUUUUAAUGUUCAUUACUGAGUAAUGAUCUAUGUUUGAGUUUUUGAUCAUCAUCUGCUAACUGAUUUUUUCUUUUAAUUUCAUGAAUUAUAUAUAUAUAUAUAAUUUCAUAGCUCUUUAGUAUAUGGCUAAGAGCAGAGCACAUCUAAUUUUGAGCCAUAUAUGAUGCCACUUGUUAUUUAUUAAUUAAUAGUAGAGUUAAUUAAAUUUAAAAAAAAGAAUUGAAAGAUAAGAAGUAACAUAGAAUUUUUUUUUUAAAAUCGAAUAUCAUUUUAUUGUAGUACAUUAGCUCUUGUUUAAUGAUUAUAUUUAGUUAAUGGAUUCAUUCAUUAGUUUGUUCAGAAAUUGGAGUUGCUAUAUUUUGAUCCAAAUGAAAAAUAAAAACUUAUAAUGAAGGAUGGAUGGGUGUCAUUUUCCCUUAUAGUUUUUAUAUUGCUUCGUAGAUGAUUGUAUUUAUUUUUUAUGCGAUCAAGCCUCAAUUCUUGUAUCUUUUAUGGCACCAUUUUAAUAGAACUUGAUCGAUACUUGCAGUUUUUCUGCCAAAACAAUUAUAGGGCGGCAUACAAAUUUUGUAGAGGUUACUUUGUAUAGCCUAAUUCAAGAUUUCUUUUUUCUUUGACUUUUGACAUGCAAUUCUUAUUUUGACCAUUAAAUGGAAAUUAAUCAUGCAUUUUCUCAGUAGUGUGAUGCUUAUUUGGCUUUUGACAUGCAAUUCUUGUAGAGAUGAUGCUUUUGGGAUUCAUUUCACUCGUACUCACUAUCAGGUGUCAAGGAAGCUCAUGUGAGCCAAAUAGUCAGCAAAGCAGAGGAUUAUAACAGCAGCAACUUACAGCUGCGAGUUGAUGAUUUGGACUGCCAGCUGGCACCUGGUGGUUAUAUAAUUUCUUGUACUCGUAACUGAUUAGUUGUAGUUUGUUAAUAAGCUGCUGCAUGAUUAGCAUGUGAGAUUAGUUUAGCUAGUAUGGUUAAUCAGUUACGUGAGUAUAUAAAGCAAAGGCAGCACAUUUCCUCUGUAAUCUUGUUGAAAGAAAUAAAAACAAAUUCUCAGAUUCUUAUCAUUUUCUCUCAAUAUUUCUUAGUCAUCAAACAAGCUGUUUUGUCACUUGGUAUCAGAGCCAAGAUAAUGGCGUCUGUUAAUCUAGUUACUUCAAAUCAGAUCCAAAAUACUCCCGCUGUUUCAACUAAUAUUUCAUUCACUUUCAAUACACCAGUGAAGCUUGAUCAAGCUAACUAUCUCAUAUGGCGAUCUCAAGUGCUUGCUUCAAUUCGUGGCAACAGACUUGAAAAGCUUAUUGAUGACUCGAUUACUCCUCCUCCAUCUCACAUUGCUCAAAGAGUUGGAGAUGACGUCAGAUCUGUGGAGAAUCCAGACUUUAUAUCUUGGAGAUCUCAGGAUCAAGUGCUGCUUGGAUGGUUACUCUCUUCAAUGAGUGAAGGAAUCAUCAGUCUAGUCUUCAAUCUGGAGACAUCACGUGAGGUUUGGAAAGCUGUUGAGGUACAAUUUGGUUCUCAAUCCAAAUCACGACUGUUACAUCUAAGAUAUAUGAUGAAUUCUACUAGAAAGGAUGAUAUGAAAAUCACAGAUUACUUCAUUAAAAUGAAAAACAUAUCUGAUAAUAUGGCUGCAGCAGGAAGUGCCUUGAGUAAUGAUGACUUAAUUUUGCAUGUGUUGUCUGGUUUAGGACCAGAUUAUAAUUCAGUAGCUACCUAUAUAACUGGUCAAGUAGGAACUGGAAAAAUGGAUCUGAAUGAAGCUUAUGCAAUGCUUUUAACUCAAGAAGUUAGGAUUGAACAACAGUCUCAUAUGCUAGCUGGUACAGAUAUGAAAAAUAACUUUGAAGCAAAUUUUGCUCAAAACAGAGGACCUAAGAAAGGAAACAUGUUCAAUGGAAAAGGUUUUGGUGGUUAUGGCUAUAAUUCUGGUUCUGGAAAUAACUAUAACUCAGGCUUUAGCAAUAAUGGUUAGUACAAAGGAAACUUUGGUACUGAGUUUGCUGGUACUGGUUUUAACAAUCAGUUCAAAGGAUACCAGUCCAGUAAUCAUGGAGGGGGAGGAGGAGGUAACUGGAAUAACAACAAUGGACCAAGUAACUUUAACAGUGGCAAACCAUCUGUGAAUCCUAAGCCACAAUGGAAUGCAUCAAAGCCUACCUGUCAAAUUUGCCUCAGGCCUGGACACACUGCAAAUAUUUGCUGGAAACUUGAAGAGUUUAUUACUUCAGGUGCUUACAAACCACCACCAAAUAGAGGACCUAAGGCAGCUUAUCUGGCUAACAUGGAUGCUCCAGUUGACAACAAUUGGUAUCUGGAUAGCGGAGCCACACAUCACCUCACAAAUGAUAUGAAUAAUGUGAAUGGUGUUGAACCUUUUGCAGGUAAUUCCAAACUUAUUGUUGGAAAUGGUGUUGGUUUGUGCAUAACACACAUAGGUUCUGUUGUUCUAAGAAUGCCUGAUGAUCUGAAUUAUUCUGAUCUUAAGCUAAACAACAUUCUACUUGUUCCAAAAAUAACCAAAAACCUGAUAAGUAUUUCCCAAUUAACCAAAGAUAAUAAUGUUGUGGCUGAAUUUACUGAUAGUUUCUGUUUUGUGAAGGACAAGGUGAAGAAUUCAGUUAUGCUACAGGGCAAAGCUGAAAAAGGUUUAUAUAGAUUGUUGUGUGUUUCCUCAACCAAGUCCUCUGCUUCACAGUCAAACCAAGGUCUUCUUACUCAUGUCGAGUCAGCUGUUUCAAAUCAGCCAAUUUCAAUGUUUUCAACUGUUGUUUCAAAAUUUCCAAAUAAAACUGCUUGCUGUUUGCAUACAGAAGCACUAUGUUGUCAAACUCCUAGUUGUAUGUUGAAUACUAUGGUAUUACAUCAGAGACUAAGGUGCUUAGUCAUGUAAUCAAUUCUUGUUCUUCCUUAAAGAAUGUCAGUGGUAAUAAAACAAUCGAUUCCUGUGAUGCUUGUAAGAUGGGAAAAAUGCAUAAACUUCAUUUUUCAAUUACUGAAACCAAAACCAAAAAUCCUUUGGAACUUCUACAUACUAAUCUAUGGGGACCUUCUCCCACACCUUCUAUCCAAGGAUACAAAUACUAUGUUAGCUUUGUGGAUGACUUCACAAGGUUCACCUGGAUUUUCCCUUUGAAAACCAAAGCUGAUACAUUUCAAGUGUUUAAAAUCUUUAAAGCUCAGGUGGAAAAACAAUUGGAUAAGCCUAUUAAAUGUCUUCAGUUAGAUUGGGGUGGGGAAUACAGAUCUUUUGUUCAUUUUCUUCAUGAAACAGGAAUACAAUUUAGACAUUCAUGCCCUUAUACACACAAUCAAAAUGGUCUUGUAGAAAGAAAGCAUAGGCACAUCACUGAGUUGGGUUUAACUUUACUUGCACAAGCUAAAAUACCCAUCAAAUUCUAGUGGGAUUCUUUUCAUACAGCCACUUACAUUAUUAACAGAUUACCAACUCCUGUUCUUUCCAUGAAAACUCCCUAUGAAUGUCUCUUUCAUUUGCUACCUGAUUAUCCUUUUCUCAAAACUUUUGGUUGUGCUUGUUUUCCAUUCUUAAGAGAUUACAAUCGUCACAAGUUUGAUUUCCAUACAUCCAAGUGUGUCUUCCUAGGAUACAGUCCAUUACACAAAGGUUACAAGUGUCUUCAUCCAUUAGGGAAAACUUAUAUAGCCAGCCAUGUUCUUUUUUAUGAAACCUCUUUUCCAUACUCUACUGAUUCACAUUUUUUGAAGUCCUUGCCACCUAAGGUGUCUGACUUCCAAUACAAUUCUCUACAGUUUUACAAUAUUUCAGUUCCUCAUAGCAAUCUAAAACCUUUUGAAGCUGCUGCAGCAGACACUGAUUCUCAUACUUCUAGUUCUAAUUACAAUAUCAUGUCACCUUCCUUCUCUACUCAUCCUGUUUCUUCUACUGAUACCAUAUCCUCACCUAUUAUUUACACCACAUCUCCUAUCACAACUCCAAACACUACAUCUUCACCCAUCAUCCAUCACCACUCUCCAGAAUUUCCUAUAACACAUCAGGUUCCUUUACACACAUCACCUUCCAGACCAUCUUUCUCCUCUGCUCAUCCUAUGAUUACCAGAGCUAAAGCUGGUAUCUUCAAACCUAAGGCAUUCUUAACAGCACAUAAUAGCUUAGAGCCUUCUAGUGUUGAUGAAGCUUUAGCUGAUCCUAAGUGGCAAGCUGCAAUGCAACUGGAAUAUGAUGCACUUAUUCAAAACAAAACCUGGAGUCUAGUUCCAAUGGAUCCAGCUUAUAAACUGGUGGGUUGUAAGUGGGUUUUCAGAACAAAGUAUAAUCCAGAUGGCUCAGUCUCUAAGUAUAAGGCUCGGUUGGUUGCUAAGGGUUUCCAUCAGACAGCUGGGGUUGACUAUUCAGAAACUUACAGUCCUAUAGUUAAGUCUUCCACUGUCAGAGUUAUACUGAGCUUAGCAGUCAUGCAAGACUGGAAUGUUAGACAAAUAGACAUCAACAAUGCCUUUCUUAAUGGGGAUCUCACUGAAGAUGUGUUCAUGCAACAGCCAGAGGGUUUUGUUUCAGGGGGAGGCUACGUCUGCAAGCUAAACAAAGCCCUUUAUGGUUUAAAACAGGCACCAAGGGCCUGGUAUGAUAAACUUAAGGGCUGUCUUACUGAUUGGAAGUUUACAAACGCUAAGGCUGAUACCUCACUGUUUAUUAGGCAUGACAUUAAAGGCAUAAUCUUUGUUUUGAUCUAUAUAGAUUAUAUUCUAGUCACAGGACCAGAUUCAGUCUUGCUGGAGGCUUUCAUCACAAACUUGAGUAAAGUAUUUGCCUUAAAAGACUUAGGUCUGGUUUCAUACUUCCUUGGUAUAGAAGUCAGCUACACAGAUCAUGGAAUGCAUCUCUCCCAAACUAAGUAUAUCAAGGAUUUGCUAGCUAAAGCAUCAAUGCAGAACUGCAAAGAGACAGAAACUUCUUUCAGCACAGGCUACAAAUUAGAAAGAACAGCUAAAGGUCUUUUGGGUGCAGAAUUUGAAAAUCCAACUCUCUACAGAAGUAUAGUUGGAGGACUUCAAUACUUGAUCUUAACCAGACCAGACAUUGCCUAUUCAGUACAUAAACUUAGCCAGUAUCUAUGUGCCCCAACUCUCCAACAUUGGUUAGCUUGUAAAAAGGUGUUGAGAUAUUUACAAGGAACUAUUACACAUGGUCUUUAUAUUCAGCAAGAGGGGACUUUGGAAACAAUUGGCUUGACAGGGUAUUCAGAUGCUGAUUGGGCGUGUGAUAUUGAUGACAGAAAAUCCAUUGGAGCUUACUGUAUUUUCCUUGGCAAUAAUCUAGUUUCCUGGUCUUCGAAAAAGCAAGCUAUUGUAGCAAAGUCUAGCACUGAAAGUGAAUACCGACCAUUGUCGGCAGCAAGUUCAGAGCUUACUUGGCUACAGUCCUUGUUUUCUGAGCUGAAGAUUAUCAAGUUGCCAACUUCUGUUCUCUGGUGUGAUAAUCAGAGUGCAGGUGAUCUAGCUAAAAAUCCAGUAUUUCACUCUAAGUCCAAACAUAUAGAGCUGGAUGUUCAUUACAUUAGAGAUAAGGUUCUGAAUAAGGAGUUAGAAGUAAGGUACAUUCUCACUGAAGAGCAAGUGGCAGAUGUUCUUACUAAGCCUCUGUCAUUUCCAAAAUUUAGUUAUUUUCGUUCCAAGCUCAAUGUGAUCAACAGACCCUUGAGCUUGAGAGGGGAUGUCAAGGAAGCUCAUGUGAGCCAAAUAGUCAGCAAAGCAGAGGAUUAUAACAGCAGCAGCUUACAGCUGCGAGUUGAUGAUUUGGACUGCCAGCUGGCACCUGGUGGUUAUAUAAUUUCUUGUACUCGUAACUGAUUAGUUGUAGUUUGUUAAUAAGCUGCUGCAUGAUUAGCAUGUGAGAUUAGUUUAGCUAGUAUGGUUAAUUAGUUACGUGAGUAUAUAAAGCAAAGGCAGCACAUUUCCUCUGUAAUCUUGUUGAAAGAAAUAAAAACAAAUUCUCAGAUUCUUAUCAUUUUCUCUCAAUAUUUCUUAGUCAUCAAACAAGCUGUUUUGUCACUUCAGGCAUAGGUAUAUUUCUAAAAUAUUUCUUCCUGCAAAGGUUGCAGACACUAUGUUGCUGUGCAAGGCUGGUGGUAUGCACGAGACAGAGGAGUAAGUACUUGCUUUGUAGAAGAUUUUAGCUCGUCUUAAGAAUUAUAUAUGAAUUAUUUUUGCUAAAAGACAUAUUCUAACUAGUUUUAUGUUUAAUUGACAAAGUGUGGAGGUUCUAAAUGGCAGUGAUCAUCAUUAUGAUAGUGUGGUUCCUUUGGAUCCUUCCAAAAAUAGUCUGAACAAUGAAUGUGGUAUAAUCUAUCUCUCACUGAUCCUUGCUGAAAUAUUUUAUUAUCAUGUAGCCUAUGAAGUUAAAUUUUAUGGUUUGAAGAAUAUUUUUUAGUUUAUUUAUUAUAAUUGAUCUGCUAUUGAACUAUUUCUCAUUAUAAAUAAUGACAAACAAUAUCUACGGCUGUUGUUACACUACAAAUCCUUUGAUUGAGAUGCAUAUUUGUAUAAAUGGUUAGGCAUUGUAAUCACUUCACUUCUCAAUCAACAUCAAUUACUGAACACAAUUAAAGGUUUGUUUAAGUUACUCAUUCAUGCGUUUCAACAUUUUAGAUUAAAAGGUUUGGUUACUGUUGAUAUAAAUGUUUCUGCUUUUGUAUCGAAUGGGUGCGGUUGUUUCAUGUUUUCUGUAAGGUUGCCAAGAAAGGGAAAGAUAUGAAAUAAAGUUUCCAGUUUUGCUUUGUUUUCAUUUUGCUUUCUAAUUAACAAAGGGGAGUGAAUUCCGUCGGCAAGUGCAAACUAAACCUAAAUUAUCAAAUUUAUUUAUUAUCAUCAGGUCCUUAAAAUUUAAAAUUUAAAUUUAAAUCUUGACGGCACUUUAUAUCAUUAGGUCCUUAAAAUUUAAAAUUGAAGACACAUAAUGAAAUAUAUAUAAAUUUCAUCCUCAUAGGAAAGGAUCCUCUAAUAAUCUUAAAAUAUUUGAGCUUUGAAAGAUUUUUUAAAACAAAUGUACUUUUAUUUUUGUACAAUCAAUAUUUACUUAUUUAUUAUAUUUUUAUUCAUUAACUAUCAAUCAUGUGAGUAUAUUUACUCAAAAAUAUCAUAUCAACGGAGCAUCUUGAUCCCACGCACACGCAAAUCUGUAAAUUUCUAUACGCUUCACUUACCUCUAGAAUCAAUUAUCUAAAAUGCAAGUUUGUGGCCACAAAAAAAGCCAAAGAAAGAAGAUAAUAACAAUUGACUUGUAUAUUAUACUCGUACAAUCCACUCGACGUAAUGAUAUCCUUUUAAUAAGGCAAUGGCUGAUGAUCUCCAUUGAAAAACUAAUUCAAUUUUUUUGCCUCAUUUAACUUUUUGGUUGUUGAAAAUAACCUUAAUUAUCAAAUAAUUGGAGAAAGAGUAAAGAACAUUUAACAAAUUUAUGUGCAAAAAAAUAAAAAAAAAGGAGAAGUUGAAGAGAAAGGGUGCUUGCAGAAGUGGGUGUCAAAGAAAAAUUGGUCCAUAAGAAUUAUUGAGGUUAUUUUUUGGCAAUAUAAAAUUUUUAUAGCAAGUAAAAAUUAAUUUUUUUUCCAAUUCACUAAAAACUUCUGCGACAGCAUUUUUUAUGGGUGCUUAUACCCUCCCUUUAAAGAAAAAAUAAUUUAAUGCUUAAGAUAGUAUUAAAUACGAAAAUAUCAAUAUCUGACUACUCAAAUUUAUAUCAUUAGGUCCUUAAAAUUUAAAAUUGAAGAUACGAAAAAAUUGAAGAUAUGAAAGGAAAUAUAUAUAAACUUCAUUCUUAUGGAAAUGAUUCUCUUAUAAUCUUAUAAUAUUUGAGUUUUGAAAAUUUUUUAAAACAAAUGUAAUUUUAUUUGUGUACAAUCAAUAUUUACUUAUUUAUUAUAUUUUAAUUUAUUUAUUAUAUUUAGUCAGAAAAAUUAUAUCAAGAGAGAAGCCUAAUUUCACGCAAACACAAAUACAAGACAAAUAUGUUAAUUUCUAUACUAUUCACUUUCCUGUAGAAUCAAUUAUCUAAAAUGCAAGUUUGUGGCUACAGAAAACUCGCCAAAGAAAGAAGUUAAUAACAAUUGAGCAUUGAUAGCAAAACUAAUGCAUCAUUUUCUUCUUGACUUGAUGAGAUGGCGCCAUUACAAAAAAACAAGUACCUUAAUUGACGGGCACUGAGUGAUGUGAAUACUACCAGCCAGUUCAUCUCUUCCAGUCUUGCUUAAUCACAAUCACAAACACCACGAGAUCGACAUUUGCAUUAUAUAUAUCUUCAGCAAUCGAAACACCUUGCAUUACCAAAUUAACCAGUAACAAACAAAGCAAUGUUUCAUGGAGAGAAACCUUAGUCUCAGUAUGAUCAUUGUGUCAUUAACCCACUGCCUGCUUCUUUGCUUGGUUGAUGCUGCAGCAGCAGCAGCAGCAAGCAGCAAUAUUACCACAGACCAACAAGCUCUUCUUGCCCUGAAAGAUCAUAUAACUUAUGAUCCGACCAACAUUUUUGCCCAUAAUUGGACCUCGAAUACCUCUGUUUGCACCUGGAUUGGCAUCACUUGUGCUGUCAAUAGCCAUAGAGUCACAGCCUUAGAUAUUUCUCAAUUCAAUCUACAAGGCACCAUCCCUCCUCAACUUGGAAACCUCUCUUCACUCACAACGCUUAAUCUUAGUCAUAACAAGCUUUCCGGAAGCGUUCCCACCUCCAUCUACACCAUGCAUACGCUAAAAUUUCUUGACUUCACUGAUAACCAGCUCUCUGGUUCAGUUUCUUCCUUCGUCUUCAACAUGUCUUCAAUAUUAGACAUUCGUUUGACCAAUAACAGACUUUCUGGUGAGCUUCCGAAAAAUAUUUGCAACUAUCGUCCUUAUUUGAAAGCCCUUUUUUUGGACAAAAACAUGUUGCAUGGCAAAAUUCCUUCUGCUUUAUCAAAGUGCAAACAACUGCAACAAUUAAAUUUGCAGUUCAAUAAUUUAUCCGGUGCAAUACCAAAAGAAAUCGGCAACUUGACCAUGCUCAAAGAGAUAGACCUCGGCUACAACAAAC
RNAcentral lists this long non-coding RNA (66064 nucleotides) under Citrus maxima (pomelo). RNAcentral describes it as "long non-coding RNA (CMAX_LNC003928)". The record is from RNAcentral. Lineage: Eukaryota; Viridiplantae; Streptophyta; Magnoliopsida; Sapindales; Rutaceae.